AUGGCCGCGAUGGCCAUCCUGAGCACCACAUCGGCGGCAAUCUACAACGUCGGCGAGCCAGGUGGUGCAUGGGACCUCAGCACCAACUACGGCACCUGGGCGUCCUCCAGGAACUUCCACCCCAACGACCAGAUCAUCUUCAAAUACUCUCCUCAGGCACACGACGUCCUCGAGGUCAGCAAGGCCGACUACGACUCCUGCAGCGCCGCCAGCACCAUCGCCACCCUCAACUCUGGGAAUGAUGUCGUCUCCCUCACUGCCACCGGCACCCGCUACUUCCUCUGCGGCUACCCGGGCCACUGUGCCGGGGGAAUGAAAGUCAAGAUCGACGUCGUGCCAAGAUCAUCCUCUUCCUCGCCGGCCCCGUCCAGCGGCCCCCAGUGCAAGCAGUGCUCCCCCGCCGGCGCCUGUCGCAGCCGCCACCUCUAUGGAGGCCACAGGGUUUGGCCUCACCAUCUUGCUUGCCGUUGCCGGUCUCAUGGCUUGAGUGUGUCUCUAAAAAAGACAUAGAAGUCACUAUUAUUAUCAAGCAUCUGUGGUGUACAUUGUAUAGUCAAGUAAUUGUAUCGUACAUUGUAUGUAUUCAGGCUUCACGUUUUGCAUAUUCAUUUUGGAGGAUGAGUAAUAAAGAUUUUUUUAGUAUUAUACAAUAUUUGACCCGAAACAUGUUCACCAACCAUAAGAAGCCACCCUCAGCUCCGGAAUGAUGUCACCCCCUGUCGGUGCAACAAACCCUGGGUCUGUUGCCCGUACUGUGCACAGGCACGGGAGCAGGAUUGAUGCAUCAACCCAAAUCAGAGUGCAAGGAACCAAGAUCUUAGGAGGACCAACAUGCAGAUCAAGAGGAUUGUGGUCAAGCCAGAGAAAAGCCUCCCUUGCCCGGCAGACGAGCUCGACAAGGGCGGGGUCGCCCCUAGAAGAGGACGUCCAAGACGUCCCGGCAGGGCCCGCCGGGACUCGCGGAGGCCAAACCACCUCACACAACCACUCCGCCACGACCCACGUCGUCAAUCAGUGUGGUGUCAAGCCGCAAGAUAAUUAAGUGGCAGCCGAUCGCCACAUGACAUCCUCUUUCUACAGGAAAUGCCUAUAGAUGACACCCGUCCUGCAACGUGUCAAGCGAGCAGGCGUGGAGCUGGCGAGACGGCCCGGCAGGGCUUGCCGGGCAACCAACGAUGUGACAUUGAGCGGCGCAUUUAAUGCGCUCUGUCAGCCUGCAGAGUUAGGUAUGAUAGCACUGUUUGCUAUCUUAUCAGUGCAUAAUGACUGAUUUGCCAUUGUGGUGACCCCUUAAUCUAUAAAAGGAGGUCCAUGGCAACCGUAGAAAGGGUUGUUGGAAGGUAGGAGAACACACACCAAUACGCGCGUAGCCACUGCCGCCCUUGCCGGGCAAGUGUACUAUGCUCCACCGCCAUUUUUCCACCAUCAAUCCACCAAAGCAGGAGUAGGGUUUUACGCCUCACGCGCAAAACCGGCAAACUCAGAGCGGUCUCUGAAAGUGAAUAGGAGCAUAGCGGCAUCAUCCAAGCGAAACACGUCUCCUCAGUCAAGGGCGGUAAAGCCCAUUAAAAAGAGUGCCACGCAGAAGCACCUCCUGUGUCACUCGAUCCAAACCCGACACAUCUUUCUUUCUAUACAAAAUGAGUUCGACCUUUUUUUCAAAAUAGAAACAGAAAAGAAAUUUACGGCCUGAACCUGGGUAAAAUUGCCUGUGUGAUCGCUGCCGCACUGUCCCACGUUCUUCUGCUCUUUGUGCAACGACCCCCCUGCCGAACCAGCAAGGGGCCAUUGGUCCCAUAGGUGGCCGUGGUUCCCCACGACAUCUUUGGUGCGCCAGGUAGGAGGAUCGCUUGCGCGAACCUGAAGGCGUACGCAGCGCGUCAUCUUCAUCACCGUCUUCAUCUUUGACGGCGCCAUCGGCCAUGGUGCCCAAGAAGAAAUCCGGUGCUUCGGCCCAUGCAUCCACCUCGAAGGCUCCGCCGACCGCGGUCUCUAAUGCUGCGGAGGCACGCGAGGGCGUGGACAUUGCGGGGAAUGUAUUCGGCGCAGGCGGCACCCUCACCGCUUCCCUCGUAGCCGACACAGGAGCAGGGAACAUCGGAGGAGAACAACAUCAACAAUGCACCGAUGGCCACGCUAGGGGCUACUCCAUCCGCACCCCUUCCUCCCGCCGACGGGCAUAGUCGCAGCAACGGCGCUCGGUCUGGGGCGAAUCGCCGCCCUCCGGCCGCCCCCAUCAUAGGAGUGACCAUAGCGCGUGCGCCUCCCCCGGGAUAGGUCGACCAAGUCGCUGCGCGCGACGGAGCCCCUGGCCCCCUGGCGCCCUCUCUGCGCCACCCUACUAUCCAGGUGUCCGCCCCGCAACAGCGGGGGCGCGAUGCUGCCGCCACUGGCAUGAUCAGGAGCCAGGCGACGGUGCGAUCUACUUCAUCAUCACCCAUGCCAUGUACAGCCACGGAGGCCAUGGCACGGGCUCAGCUGCUGGUGAGGUUUCCGCCAGUGGUGGAGCAGAUGGACGAAUGGCGUGCCACCCUCCAAAGUCUGCUCGGUUUCGCCCAGGCUGGGGGCUCACUGCGAGCUGGCCUGCCACGGCCUCCUCAAGCGACGACAACGGCUCGUGCUGCUGGCCGUACGGAAGGGGCUACCCCCAGGGUGCAGUCCCCGCCACGGCAGCCAGCGUGGACACAGCAGAAUCAAGCACCUGACGACGUCUCGAUGGCCUCUUCUAACCCUCGAGCACGUCCAGGCCGACGGCCAGCCCCGGAGGAUAGGCGGGUGAGAGACGCGCGCGUCGUCGUCGAGCGAUGCCGUAACGACCACUGCCGAACCAAUGGGUGUGAUGGCCCCGACAUCGACGAGCCUGCACUCGGUAUUGGCAGGUGCCUACCUUUCGAGGUUGGGUGCCCUGCCUUUACUCGUGAGCUACGGCAAGUCCGUUCGCCGUCCGUUCGCACGUUCAAGCUAGAGAUACCCGAGAAGUAUGAUGGGAGGCUGAACCCGGCAGAGUUUUUCAGCAUCUACACCAUCGUUGUUCAGGCUGCCGGGGGAAGAGAUGAGAAGGUGUUUGCCAACUACUUCCCUUUGGCUCUCAAGUCCAAUGUGAGGUCUUGGCUGAUGCACCUGCCGAAGAACUCCAUCUCGUCAUGGGCUGAUCUGUGCCAUGAAUUCAUUGGCACCUUCACUGGCGGCCAUCAAGAGCCAAGACGACCCAGCGAUUUGCAGCUUCUCCAACAGAAGGAAGGAGAGACCCUCCGUAAGUAUUUACGGAGAUUUAGUAAAGUCCAUAGGAAUAUCCCAAAUAUCCAUCCGGCAGCUGUGAUAGCUGCCUUCCAGUCCAAUGUGUGCAACCGCCGGAUCAGUUCCAAGAUGAACGUGUGGUUGCCCAAGACUGCGAAGGAGCUCUAUACCUUGGUGGAUAAGUGUACUCAGAUGGAGGAGGGAAGGAAAUUGCCUGGAGAGGAAGAUUGCACCAACAUUGAUUCUGAGGAUGAUGAUGAAUCAACCAGUCAGAAGAAGAGCAAGAAGCGCAGUAAGAAGCGGAAGGAUAAGACAGUGAUGACUGUUGAAGGAUCGGGUACACUUAGUACCGGCAAGAAGGCCAAGGCCUCCCCGGCAAGGAAGCUGCCGUGUGCGCUGACUGCCGGUAGGCCGCAGUUGCCGAGAAGGCCGGGAAAGGUGAUGGGCCGUAUUGCAAGAUCCAUCAGACCAAAGGCCACGACCUUCAAGAGUGUUAUCAAGUUGAGCAGCUUGUUAAGAGACAGAGAGCAGAAUAUGAGAAGCGUGGCAACGAAAAGGGUCAGAAUGUCGCUGGCGGUAAGGGCCGAGGCGGUGAAGUAAUCGCCCCGGGAAACCCUUCCCGAACCAAGGAAAACCCGCCAGAGGUCGAGAGAAGGAAACCUGUGAUGAUGAGAGCGAUGAAGGGGAUGAAGAGGAAACCAGUGAGCAGGAGUUUCAGAAGGCCACUGACGCCCUGUGCAUUGACGGGGGUGCAUCUUUGCACACCUCUCACCGCCAGCUCAAACGGUGGGCGCGAGAAGUCAAUGACGUAGAACCAGCGCCAGAGGCCCGAAAACCGCUCAAAUGGUCAUGCACGCCCAUCAUCUUUGAUGAAGAGAAUCAUCCUAACCGUACCACUACGGUGGGGUGUUUGCCAUUGUUGGUCUCUCCAACAAUUGCAACCUCAAGGUCACAAAGAUGUUGGUGGACGGCGGGGCCGGGUUGAAUCUGAUUUCCCCAGCAGUCAUCAACAAGCUGCAAAUAGCAGAGGAUGAGUUGAAGACCACCGGCACGUUUCAAGGAGUUAAUCCCGGCAGGAGUCAUCCUAAGGGAAAGAUCACGCUGUCGGUGACGUUUGGGGGAGAGCUGAACUACCGGACUGAGAAGAUUGUGUUUGAUGUGGUUGACCUCCCCCUGUCGUACAAUGGGAUCCUUGGAUGCCCAGCCCUGGCCAAAUUCAUGGCGGCAUCCCACUAUGCCUACAACACCUUGAAGAUGCCUGGGCCAAUGGGGAUCAUUACCAUCCCAUCAGAUGAGAAGGACACAAUCAUUUGCGUGGACAAGAUGUAUCGAGACGCGGUCGCGGCAGAGGCAGCGGCAGCAGCAGUUCCCGCCAAGGAGGACAGAGGGAAGAAGAAGGGUAGCAAGGACACUGGCAUGGAAUCCGGGAAGCGUACCUCUCCGGAGUACGCUGCGCCUGUUGAUGACUUGUCGGAGAGCUCCAACAGCAAGAGAUCGAAGGUUACUGCACCCCAAGUAAAGAAGGUCCCGAUAGGGCUGGCUGGCGUUGUUGGUACUUUCACUAUCAGCGCCACCCUCGAUGACAAAUAGGAAAGCGCGCUCAUUGCCUUCCUACGGGCGAAUAUCGAUGUGUUUGCCUAGCAACCAUAUGAUAUCCUCGGUGUUCCCAGGGAGGUAAUCGAGCACCACCUUGCUGUCUGCCCACACACCCAACCCGUCAAGCAGAAAGUCCGAAAGCGGGCCUUGGAGAGGCAGCAGUUCAUUGCGGAAGAGAUCAAGAAACUUGAAGCAGCUGGUUUGGUCAGGGGAGUCCUGCAUCCCACAUGGUUGGCAAAUCCAGUGGUAGUUCGGAAGGCUAACGGGAAGUGGAGGCUUUGCAUAGAUUUCAUAGAUCUCAACAAAGCUUGCCCGAAGGACCCGUUUCCCUUGCCGCGCAUCGAUCAGAUUGUGGAUUCCACUUCAGGCUCCGAUUUUCUCUCCUUUCUGGAUGCAUACUCUGGGUAUCACCAAAUAUUCAUGUCCAAGGAAGACGGAGAGAAGACAUCGUUCAUCACUCCAUGUGGUACGUACUGUUUUAUCCGCAUGCCAUUUGGAUUAAGGAGUGUCGGGUCCACUUUUGCAAGGGCAAUCCAGAUUGGUUUCGAGCCACAGCUGCACAGAAACAUUGAAGCUUAUAUGGAUGAUACUGUGGUCAAGACCAAGGAUAGAGCCACCCUUAUUCAAGAUUUGGAGGAGACAUUUGCUAAUCUGCGCAAGAUCAACUUGAAGCUCAACCCGGAGAAGUGUGUGUUUGGCGUUCCCUUCGGCAAGCAGCUUGGGUUCUUCGUGUCCAAUCGGGGGAUCGAAGCCAACCCUGACAAGAUUAAAGCUAUCGAGCAGAUCCAAGCACCAAGGACUGUCAAGGAUGUAAGGCGUCUGACAGGGUGCAUUGCCGCGCUAAGCAGAUUCAUCUCCAAGUCUGCCGAGCGCGCCCUGCCGUUCUUCAAAAUUUUGAAGAAGGCAGGACCCAUGAAGUGGACCCCGGAAGCAGAAGCAGCUUUGCAUGAAUUGAAGGCCUACUUGUCCUCUGUGUCCACCUUGGUUGCUCCCAAACCACAAGAGCCGUUGCUGCUAUACUUAGCGGCAACCAACCAAGCGGUUAGUGAAGCCUUGGUGGCACAGCGGGAACUGGAUGAAGCAGAGAGUGAGCAAGGACUGGCAGAGCCAGAAAAGGAUCAGGACAGUAAUGGGCACGGCAUCGAGAGCAACCCCAAGGACGCGGCAAGGAAGAAAGUGGUGCAGCGCCCAGUGUACUUCGUCAGCUCCUUAUUGCAGGGGGCUAGAUUGAGGUACUCUGGCAUGCAAAAGUUGAUCUUUGGUCUCAUCAUGGCCUCAAGGAAACUGCGCCACUACUUCCAAGCCCAUGAGAUUACGGUUGUCACUCGCUCCCGGUUGCAAAGGAUACUCCGAAACCCUGAGGCUACCGACAGGAUAGUGGAGUGGGCUUUGGAGUUAUCGAGUUUUGGUUUGAAGUUUGAGAGCACGACAACUAUAUAGAGCAGGGCAUUGGCAGAGUUUAUUGCAGAAUGGACGCCAACCCCUGAUAAGGAAGUACUAGAGACAAUUGUCCCCGACAAGGAAUCGCCCCAAGAAUGGAUUAUGUAUUUCGAUGGUGUAUUUCCCCUACAAGGUGCAGGGGCUGGCGUGCUUCUUGUUUCCCCCUCCAGGGAGCACUUGAAGUACGUCGUCCAAAUGCAUUUUGCCCGGGAAGAGGCAACCAACAAUACAACAGAGUAUGAAGGGCUGCUUGCCGGGCUAAGGAUUGCCGUAGAAUUGAGAAUUAAGAAGCUGAUCAUUCGAGGAGAUUCACAGCUCGUGGUGAGACAAGUCAACAAGGAUUACCAAAGUCCAUUGAUGGAGGCAUAUGUCGAGGAAGUGAGGAGAUUGGAGGAACGCUUUGACGGAUUGCAAACAGAGCACGUACCCUGUGCGGAAAACAUCAUAGCUGAUCAUCUGUCAGAAUGUGCUGCGCAGAAGCUUCCUGUGGAACCAGGAACUUUUGUUCUCCAUCUCACUCAGCCCUCCAUAUCCCCAGCAACAAUGGCCCGCAAAAGGAGAAAGUUGGACUCCGGUAAGCCUCUCCUAGUAGAGUCGUCCGCUCCCGACAAAGACCCUGCCGGAAACAACUCCUGGCCACCUGCUAGACCGCACCCUCCAGCCGGGCCCAUGGUCCCCGUGAACGAGGAAUGUGCCCCCGCAGUAGAGGAGGUGCCGCUAGACCUCGUUGCCAAGCCUCGGGCUCCAACUUGGGCAAGGCACAUAGUCCACUUCCUCCAAACCGGAGAGCUUCCCGGCGACCAAGAUGAUGCUGAAAAAGUAGCCCGGAGGCCCUGUAUGUAUCAGUUUGUCGAUGACACACUAUACAGAAGGAGGCCCAACGGUGUGAAAUUGAAGUGCAUCUGCCGGGAAGAAGGAAAUGAACUGCUCGCUGAGAUUCACAAAGGCAUGUGCGGCUCCCACAUUGGAUCAAGGGCAUUAGUUGGGAAAGCGUUCCGGCAAGGAUUCUAUUGGCCCAUAGCCCUCCAAGAUGCGGUCGAGCUAGUCACCAAAUGUGAAGCCUGCCAGUUCCAUUCCAAGAACAUCCACCUGCCUGCCCAAGAUCUUCAGACAAUCACUUUAUCAUGGCCAUUUUCGGUCUGGGGCUCGAUAUCCUUGAUACAUGUCCGUCGUAUCUACUUUUCCACACACUUUUGCCCUUGUUUUGUACUCUAACUUGCAUGAUUUGAAUGGAACUAACACGGACUGACGCUGUUUUCAGCAGAAUUGCCAUGGUGUUAUCUUUGUGCAGAAACAAAAGUUCCCGGAAUGACCUGAAACUCCACGGAGAUUAUUUUUGGAAAUAAUAAAAAAUACUGGCGAAAGAAUCAAGACCAGGGGGCCAACAGCCUGUCCACGAGGGUCAGAUGCGCGCCUGCCCCCUGGGCGCGCCCCCCAUGCCUCGUGGGCCCCCUGGAACUCCACCGACCUCAACUCCAACUCUAUAUAUUCACGUUCGGGGAGAAAAAAUCAAAGAGAAGGAUUCAUCGCGUUCUACGAUAUAGAGCCGCCGCCAAGCCCUAAUCUCUCUCGGGAGGGCUGAUCUGGAGUCCGUUCGGGGCUUCGGAGAGGGGAAUCCGUCGCCGUCGUCAUCAUCAACCAUCCUCCAUCACCAAUUUCAUGAUGCUCACCGCCGUGCGUGAGUAAUUCCAUCGUAGGCUUGCUGGACGGUGAUGGGUUGGAUGAGAUUCACCAUGUAAUCGAGUUAGUUUUGUUAGGGUUUGAUCCCUAGUAUCCAUUAUGUUCUGAGAUUGAUGUUGCUAUGACUUUGCUAUGCUUAAUGCUUGUCACGAGGGCCCGAGUGCCAUGAUUUCAGAUCUGAACCUAUUACGUUUUCAUGAAUAUAUGUGAGUUCUUGAUCCUAUCAUGCAAGUCAAUAGUCACCUACUAUGUGUUAUGAUCCGGCAACCCCGAAGUGACAAUAAUCGGGACCACUCUCGGUGAUGACCGUAGUUUGAGGAGUUCAUGUAUUCACUAAGUGUUAAUGCUUUGUUCCGGUACUCUAUUAAAAGGAGGCCUUAAUAUCCGUUAGUUUCCAAUAGGACCCCGCUGCCACGGGAGGGUAUGACAAAAGAUGUCAUGCAAGUUCUUUUCCAUAAGCACGUAUGACUAUAUUCGGAAUACAUGCCUACAUUACAUUGAUGAAUUGGAGCUAGUUCUGUGUCACCCUAUGUUAUAACUGUUACAUGAUGAACCACAUCCGACAUAAUUAUCCAUCACCGAUCCAAUGCCUACGAGCUUUUCGCAUAUUGUUCUUCGCUUAUUUAUUUUUCCAUUGCUAUUGUUACAAUCACUACAAAACCCAAAAAUAUUACUUUUGCUACCGUUACCAAUACUAUCAUAUUACUUUGCUACUAAACACUUUGCUGCAGAUAUUAAGUUUCCAGGUGUGGGUGAAUUGAAAACUCAGCUGCUAAUACUUGAGAAUAUUCUUUGGCUCCCCUUGUGUCGAAUCAAUAAAUUUGGGUUGAAUACUCUACCCUCGAAAACUGUUGCGAUCCCCUAUACUUGUGGGUUAUGAAGACUAUUUUCUAGCGCCGUUGCCGGGGAGCAUAGCUCUAUUCUUUGAGUCACUUGGGAUUUAUAUCUGCUGGUCACUAUGAGGAACUUGAAAGACGAUAAAACCAAGAUUUAUCCCUCAACUACGAGGGGAGGUAAGGAACUGUCAUCUAGCUCUGCACUUGAUUCUCCUUCUGUUUUGAGUAAACUUGCGACACCUAAACCUGCUUGUGCUAUUAAUUCUGAUAUGUCGCAUGUUAUUGAUGAUGCCACUUCUGCUAUGCAUGAUACUUAUGAUGAAACUACUUCUAUGCUUGAUACUACUGUGCCACUAGGUGAAUUUCUUGAUGAACAACUUGCUAGGGCUAGAGAGAAUGAAAUUAUUGAAAUUGAUAAUAUUGAUGAAAGUGAUGAUGAAGAUUCUCCCCCUAAAUAUGAAUUGCCUGUUGUGCCUGAGGGUUGUGUUAUGGAUGAAGAAACUGCUAGAGAUUUCCUUGCUUGCAACGAUAGAUCUGAUCUUAAGAAAUUAUUAGCUAAGCUUAAAGAAAAGUCUCUUAAUGCUAGAAUGAAAUAUGACCCUGCUUUUGCUAGUUCACCUAUCUUUGUUACUGAUAAGGAUUAUGAUUUCUCUGUUGACCCUAAGAUAAUUACCUUGGUUGAAUCUGAUUCUUUUUAUGGCUAUGAAUCUGAAACUAUUGUGGCACAUCUUACUAAACUAAAUGAUAUAGCCACCCUAUUCACUAAUGAUGAGAAAACUUGCUACUAUUAUAUCCUUAAGUUAUUUCCGGUCUCAUUAAAGGGUGAUGCUAAGACAUGGUUUAAUUCUCUUGAUCCUGGUUGUGUGCGUAGUCCCUAGGAUAUGAUUUAUUACUUCUCUGCUAAAUAUUUCCCCGCUCAUAAGAAACAAGCUGCUUUAAGGGAAAUAUAUAAUUUUGUGCAAAUUGAAGAAGAGAGUCUCCCACAAGCUUGGGGGAGGCUUCUCCAAUUACUUAAUGCUUUGCCUGAUCAUCCUCUCAAGAAAAAUGAAAUACUUGAUAUCUUUUAUAAUGGACUAACCGAUGCUUCCAGAGACCACCUGGAUAGUUGUGCUGGUUGUGUUUUCAGGGAAAGAACAGUCGAUCGAGCUGAAUUGCUAUUGAAUAAUAUGUUGACUAAUGAAAACAAUUGGACACUUCCCGAACCAACUCCUAUGCCAACUCUGAAGAAAAGGGGUAUUCUAUUUCUCAGUCCUGAAGAUAUGCAAGAGGCAAAGAAAUCUAUGAAAGAAAAAGGUAUUAAAGCUGAAGAUGUUAAGAAUUUACCUCCUGUUAAAGAAAUACAUGGUCUUAAUUUACCGCCUGUUCAAGAAACACAUGGUCUUGAUAAACCGACACAGGUAGUAAAGGUAAAUUCUCUCUAUAGAUAUGAUAAAGCUGAAAUUCCGCCUACUAAGUUUGCUAGCCAAUGCUUAGAUGAGUUUGACAACUUUAUGGUUAAGCAAGAAGACUUCAAUGCUUAUUUUGGUAGAGAACUAAAGCGCAAUGCUUAUAUGAUUGAACACUUGAGCGAUUAUAUGUCUAGAGUUAAAGGUGAACUUAAGCUCAUUAGUAAACAUGCUUCUAUGGUUACCACUCAAGUAGAACAACUACUUAAAGCUCAGAAUGAUUUGCUCAAUGAAUUAAAUAGUAAGAACAAUGAUUAUGCUGUUAGAGUUGCGACUAGAACGGGUAAAAGGACUCAGGAACCUUUGUAUCCUGAGGGCCACCCUAAGAGAAUUGAGCAGGAUUCUCAGAGAACUAAUGUUGAUACACCUAGUCCUUCUAAGAGGAAGAAAAAGAAAAAUGAUAGGACUUUGCAUGAUUCUAGUGAACCUGUUGCUGACACACCUGAGAAUCCCAAUGAUAUUUCUAUUUCUGAUGCUGAAACACAAUCUGGUAAUGAACAUGAACCUAGUAAUAAUGUUAAUGAUGAUGUUCAUGUUGAUGCUCAACCUAGCAAUAACAAUGAUGUAGAAAUUGAACCUGCUGUUGAUCUUGAUAACCCACAAUCAAAGAAUCAACGUUAUGAUAAGAGAGACUUUGUUGCUAGGAAGCACGGUAAAGAAAGAGAACCAUGGGUUCAGAAACCCAUGCCUUUUCCUCCUAAACCAUCCAAGAAAAAGGAUGAUGAGGAUUUUGAGCGCUUUGCUGAAAUGAUUAGACCUAUCUUUUUGCAUAUGCGUUUGACUGAUAUGCUUAAAAUGAAUCCUUAUGCUAAGUAUAUGAAAGAAAUUGUUACAAAUAAGAGAAAGAUACCUGAUGCUGAAAUUUCCACCAUGCUUGCUAAUUAUACCUUUAAGGGUGGAAUACCAAAGAAACUAGGAGAUCCAGGAGUACCAACUAUACCAUGCUCCAUUAAAAGAAACUAUGUUAAAACUGCUUUAUGUGAUCUUGGAGCCGGUGUUAGUGUUAUGUCUCUCUCUUUAUAUCGUAGACUUGAUUUGAAUAAGUUGGCACCUAAUGAAAUAUCUUUGCAAAUGGCCGAUAAAUCAACUGCUAUACCUGUCGGUAUUUGUGAGGAUGUGCCUGUUGUGGUUACAAAUGUUACUAUUUUAACAGACUUUGUUAUUCUUGAUAUUCCCAAGGAUGAUAGUAUGUCGAUUAUCCUUGGUAGACCCUUUUUGAAUACUGCAGGGGUUGUUAUUGAUUGCAACAAAGGCAAUGUCACUUUUCAUGUUAAUGGUAAUGAGCAUACGGUACACUUUCCGAGGAAACAACCUCAAGUCCACAGUAUCAAUUCUAUUGGAAAAAUUCCAACUAUCACUAUUGGAGGUUUUGAAUUUCCUCUUCCUACUAUCAAAAAGAAAUAUGAUAUUCUUAUUAUUGGGGACGUGCAUAUCCCCGUUGAGGUAACCUAGUGCUAUUCGAAAAUCUCCGGUUUCAUGCGAUUCGGAAUGAGUUUGUUAACAAGACUUGAUCAACCUUGUUAGUGGAUUCCUUUUGACGAGCAUGAGAUGGAUGAAGUUAGAAAGCACAACUCUCUGUACCCUCCUUUUACUUUCUGUUAUUUAGAUUAAAUAAAGCAAAAAUAGUAUUUUAUGUCUAUUUCCUGAGUUAUCCGUGCAAUGAAAAUUACCCCGAAAAUAAAAGUUCUCCAAAUGCCCCAAAAAUGAAAUAUGAUUUUUUCUAGAAUAUUUGAGAAUAUCUGGCACUGAGAACACAUCAGGGAGAGCAAGCACCUGGCCACGAGGGUCCAGGGCGCACCUUCCCCCCUGGGCGCGCUCCCUGCCUUGUGGGCCCAUGGUGGCUCCCCUCCACUCAUUCCUGCACCCACACACUCCUUCCUCCCAAAAAAAUCACCAACCAGCUCAAGCAUGAGUUCUAGCUCAUUUUGCUGCGAUUUUCGAUCUCCUUGCUCAAAGUCCCAUUCACAAAACUGCUUUGGGGGAUUGUUCUUGGGUAUGUGACUCCUCCAAUGGUCCAAUUAGUUUUUGUUCUAGUGCUUUAUUCAUUGCAAAUUUUUGCUGCUUAGGUGACCCUGUUCUUGAGCUUGCAUGUCAAAUUUAUUUGGUCCCAAGUAUUUUUAAUGUGUGAUAUAGUCUCUAGACACUUGUGGGAGUAGUUGCUAUCAAUCUUGUUGAGUUUGGUUCACUUUUAUUUUGAAGUUACUAAAAAUUUCAGAAAUUUUCAGAAAAUGAUGAAGAGAUUUUUGAGGGGCUCUUUGAGCCGAAGCUUGAAGGAUAAGCAAAGUGAAGAAGAAGAGAGGCCCAAAUAUAAUCUCUCUCGCACCGCGGAGGUUCGGCCGUGUGAAUGGCCUUGUGAUGAGUUCUUGAGAGCAGCCGGGAUUUAUGAUGAUUUUUAUGAGUUGGCUGAGAAUGCAGGCCUCACCGACUUCCUCCGCGACCAACGCGAACAGUAUCUUCUACUCACUAAUAUCUUCAUGCAAAAUUUUCAUUUCCAUUCUAGGAGGUCACCACCUUCGGUGGAUUUUUAUUUAUAUGAUGAGUACAAGGAGAUGACCCUUUAUGAAUUUUGUGAGGUUUCCAAGUUGCCCUUUUCGGGCAGCGUAGAGGAACCGCAUCGUAACGAUGUGGAGGGGUUUAUUGAUACAAUUUCUGUUGGGGAAACGAGGAAGGUUUCUGACGCAAGAAUUACUAGCAUACACUUUCCUGUUCUACGUUAUUUUGCAAAAUUUGCUAGUAGAUGCUUAAUUGGUCGCGGAAACUAUGGCAACCUUACGCCCCUGAUAUUGUUAUUUUGUGCCAUGAUUUGUUCCGUGAUGACACAUUUAGUAUGGGUGCUAUUGUUGCAAAACGGUUAAAUCUUCACCGUACUAAGGGCUCCAUCUUGGGAGGCAUCUUCGCCUCGUGCCUUGCUGCGUACUUUAACAUACCUAUCAGGCAUUAUGAGAAAGAAGAAAAGUUGAUGCCUACUGUUUUUCUAAACUACAAGAGUAUGGUUGCACAUGAUUUCAUUGUUAAGAACAAGAAAAAGGAGCUCAACUAUAGACUGUUAUUUGAUAAAAAUCAUCCUGAGACUAUUACUUUGCUUGGUCCUUCCUUGUUUGACUUAUCUGCAGGCAAGUACCUUGUUCCGCUGGAGGCCUCUCACGCCUACCGGAACCCCACAUCAGCUACAGAGCCAGAGCCGGAACCACAAUUUGAUCCUUCACGACAGUCUGUUUAUCAGUGGAAUCCGGAGGAGAUUGCCAACCAGUGGCAACCCGAGGCUCCAUCUCAGUACGACCCCAGUUACAAUUUUGGAUAUCCGCCAGGCCAGCCGUGGCAAUAAACCAACUUAGGCCAAAAGCCUAGGCUUGGGGGAGUACGUAUUUCUCACCGACAUUACAUUCAUGUUCACACACUCAUUCCAGUUGUCGGUGCUCAUACUUUUUCAUUGUACUAUCCAUGCUAGUUUAUUUUUCCUUUUUCUAGCUUUCUUCUUGUGUGUUCGAAAAACCUUAAGAAAAACAAAAAAAAUAUUUAGUUGUAGCUUUUAGCUAGUUUACUUUUCAUGCCUGUAGUAGUAAUAAUUAAAAGAAAACCCAAAAAGAUUUCUCGUUCUUCUUUUUGCGUGUUGGGAGCUUUCCCGUGUAAAUAGUUUUAUUUCUUUUCUUUUCUUUGGGGGUUGAUAGGAGAAGACCAUGAUGAAAUUGUGAAGUGGCUCUUAUAUGCAUUAUUGUUGAUUUAACCAAGAGCCCAUAUUGCCUUGUCUUCUCCGGUUUAUUGAAUGCUUGCAGAUUCCAGCUUAGUCCAAUGCACGUGCACUAUUAUUAUUUUACACACCGUUCGGUGGUGCAAGUGAAAGACAACAAUGACGAUAUAAGAUGGACUGAUUGAGAUAAGAGAAGCAGGUAUGAACUCGACCUCUCUUGUUUUUGUAAAUAUGAUUAGUUCAUUGUUCCUGAUUCAGCCUAUUAUGGAUAAAAUUAUUUGCAAUGACAAUUAGAGAUUAUAGUUGCUUAUGCCAUGCUUAAUUAGCUAGGAGUUUAUAAUGGUUUACCUUGCGUGCCAACAUGCUACUAAAAUGGUUAUGAUGUGGUAUAGUAGGCUGGUAUCCUCCUUUGAAUGAUUCGAGUGGCUUGACUUGGCACAUGUUCACGCAUGUAGUUGAAACAAAAUCAACAUAGCCUCUACGAUAUUUAUGUUCAUGGUGGAUUAUAUCCUACUCAUGCUUGCAUUCGGUGUAAAUUAAUUUUAAUGCAUGUUCAUGACUGUUGUUGCUCUCUAGUUGGUCGCUUCCCAGUCUCUUUCUAGCCUUCACUUUUACUAAGCGGGAAUACUGCUUGUGCAUCCAAUCCCUUAAACCCCAAAGUUAUUCCAUACGAGUCCACCAAUCCUUCCUAUAUGCGGUAUUUACCUGCCGUUCCAAGUAAAUUUGUAUGUGCCAAACUCUAAACCUUCAAAUGAAAUUCUGUUUUGUAUGCGCGAAUAGCUCAUGUAUCAACUAGGGCUGUCUAUAUCUUCCAUGCUAGGUGGGUUAUUCUCAAGAUGAGUGGACUCUGCUCAUCAUUCACGAGAACAUGGCUGGUAAUCGGGAUGCCCAGUCCCAUGCUCUAAGCAAAUCAAAUCGAAAUAAUUGCAAACAAAAAUCCCCCAGGGCUGUUGCUAGUUGGAGGCACUCAUUGUUUCGAGCAAGCCAUGGAUUGAUGCUUGUUGGUGGUGGGGGAGUAUAAACUUUACCAUUCUGUUUGGGAACCGCCUAUAAUGUGUGUAGCAUGGAAGAUAUCGCCAUCUCUCGGUUGUUAUGUUGACAAUGAAAGUAUGCCGCUCAAAAUAUUAUUUAUCUCUAUUUCAAAAUCGAGCUCUGGCACCUCUACAAAUCCCUGCUUCCCUCUGCGAAGGGACUAUCUAUUUACUUUUAUAUUGAGUCAUCACCCUCUUAUUAAAAAGCACCAGUUAGAGAGCACUGUUGUCAUUUGCAUUCAUUACUAUUAAUUUAUAUUGGGUAUGACUAUGAAUGGAUCUCUUUUACCAUGAAUUACAAUGUCUAGUCAGUCCUUGAUCUUUAAAGGUGCUCUGCAUUUAUGUUUUGCGGUCUCAGAAAGGGCUAGCGAGAUACCAUCUUGUUAUAUCAUAUUAUGAUUGUUUUGAGAAAGUGUUGUCAUCCGAGAUUUAUUAUUAUUGCUCGCUAGUUGAUUAUGCCAUUGAUAUGAGUAAACAUGAGACCUAAGUGUUAUUGUGAAUAUGGUUAAUCAUAAUCUUUGCUGAAAACUUGAAUGCUGGCUUUACAUAUUUACAACAACAAGAGCAAACAGAGUUUGCAAAAGUUGGCUCAACCCACCUGGGCGAAGAGUGGGUGCGGGAGGCCACCGAUGUUGGCUCAACCCACCUGGGCGCGCCUGGCCCCUCAGGCCCAGGCAUGCCCUGGUGUGUUGUGUCCCCCCCUCGGGGCACCCCCAGGUGCUGCUCUGGCCCAUUGGAUGUCUUCUGGUCCAUAAAAAUCCACAAAAAGUUUCGCGGUGUUUGGACUCCGUUUGAUAUUGAUUUCCUGUGGUGUAAAAAGAUGCAAAAAACAGCAACUGGCACUUGGCACUAUGUCAAUAGGUUAGUACCAAAAAAUGAUAUAAAAUGACUAUAAAAUGAUUAUAAAACAUCCAAGAAUGAUAAUAUAACAGCAUGGAACAAUCAAAAAUUAUAGAUACGUUGGAGACGUAUCAGCAUCCCCAAGCUUAAUUCCUGCUCGUCCUCGAGUAGGCAAAUGAUAAAAACAGAAUUUUUGAUGUGGAAUGCUGCCUAACAUGCCAUCUCUUAUUAUUUUCUUUAUAGCAUGGACAUUUGGACUUUUAUAUGGUUCAAAGCAAUAGUCUAGUUUUGACAUGAGACUUAAAUACUCAAGCAUAUCAACAAGCAAUCAUGUCUUUCAGAAUAUCAACGCUAAAAUAAGUUAUCCCUAGCCCAUCAUGCUCAAUCAUUGAUUCAUUCAUGAAACACACUCGCAUAUUAGCUACACCCAAUGCUCAAGUACGAUCAUAGUGCCUCCUAGUUGGUUCUUUAUAAGAGAAGAUGGAGACUCAAAUGAAAAAUAAAUAUUGCAUAAAGUAAAAGAAAAGCCCUUCGCGGAGGGAAGUAGGGAUUUGUAGAGGUGCCAGAGCUCAAAGCGAAAAACUUAGAGAUAAAAACAUUUUGGGAGGCAUACUUUUCCCACCAACGAAAACGACUUAGACUUUCCCACACUUUUCAUGCUAGAUAUAUCAUAGGCGGUUCCCAAACAGAAAUUAAAGUUUAUUCCUUUUUCCACCAUACUUUCACUUUCCAGGGCUAGCCGAAUCCACGGUUUCCCUCCAUACCAACACUUUCCAAGGAAUUUAUUAUUUGACAACAUAAAGUAAAUUCAUUUCUAUUUCGGGACUGGGCAUCCCUAAUACCUUUGCCUUACUCUCGCGUAAUGACAAGUGAAUAAACACUCAUUGUGAGAAUAACACAUCUAGCAUGAAAAACAUCGGCCACCCCUCACCGCCUCGCGAGCAGUACGAGCACACAAAAUAGAAUUUUAUUUUGAAAAUUAGAGAUGGCACAUACCAAUUUGCUUAGAACAGCAAAAGAAUACUGCAUAUAGGUAGAUAUAGUGGACUCAUGUGGCAAAACCGGUUUAAAGGAUUUUGGAUACACAAGUAGUGAUCAUACUUAGUGCAAAAUGAAGGCUAGCAAAAGAUUGAGAAGCGACCAACCAAGAAACAAAUAAUCUCAUAAGCGAGCAUUAAGCAUAAUUAACACCGAAUAAUGCACAACAAGUAGGAUGUAAGUUCAUUGCAUGACUAUUGACUUUCGUGCUUGCAUAGGGAAUCACAAACCUUAACACCAAUAUUCUUACUAAAGCAUAAUUACUCAUCAACAUGAUUCACAUAUCACAUCAUCAUAUCUCAAAACUAUUACAAGGAAUCCAGUUUAUUUUGUCCAAUGAUCUUCAUGAAAGUUUUUAUUAUAUCCUUCUUGGAUAUCUAUCACUUUGGGACUAAUUUUCAUGUGUUGCUUUUGAUAAGCUCAAACAAAUAUAAGUGAAGAUCAUGAGCAUAAUAUUUCUUUCUCUCAAAUUAAUUUAAGUGAAGCAAGAGAGAAUUUCUUCAAAAAUACUAAAGCACACUGUGCUCAAAAAGAUAUAAGUGAAGCACUAGAGAAAAUGACAAGCUACUCCAAAAAGAUAUAAGUGAAGAUCAAGCGAGUAGUUAAGUAAAUAGGUAGCUAUGUGAGGACUCUCUCUUAUUUUAAAACUUUCAGAUCUAAGUAAUUUAUUAAAACAGCAAGCAAAAAAAUGACAUUCUAAGAAUAGCACACAUCAUGUGAAGAAGCAAAAACUUAGGCUCAACCGAUACUAACCGAUAAUUGUUGAAGAAGAAAGGUGGGAUGCCUACCGGGGCAUCCCCAAGCUUAGAUGCUUGAGACUUCUUAAAAUAUUAUCUUGGGGUGCCUUGGGCAUCCCCAAGCUUGAACUUUUGUGUCUCCUUAAUUCCUCUCAUAUCACGGUUUUCCUAAAUCUCAAAAACUUCAUCCACACAAAACUGAACAAGAACUCGUGAGAUAAGUUAGUAUAAAUCAAUGCAAAACCUUAUCAUUCUCUACUGUAGCAAAUAACCAAAAUUAUUAUUCAACAUUGCAUACUGAAUGUCUGCGUAUUUAAUACUCCUAUCCUCAAAUAGAAUCAUUAAAUAAGCAAACAUAUGCAACCAAUGCCAACAUAACAGCAAUCUGCCAAAACAGUACAGUCCGUAAAGAAUGCAAGACUAUCAAUACUUAUUAAACUCCAAAGAUUAUGAAAAUUUACCACAGUGUAGAAAAUUUAUCAGAGCUUAUUUUGCAAAAAGUUUCAACAAUUUAUCACAUUCUAACUUUUCUAGGGAAUUUUUGCAACAGCGGGAAACUUUCUGUUUUCAAACAGCAACAUGUAGACUUGUAAAAUAAGCAUAGUAAAGGCCAUCAAUGCCACUUUUAUUGAAAUAAAAGAUGCAGGACAUUAUUCUAAAUAACAGCAAGCAAAUCCUAACAAAAUAAAUUGAUGCUCCAAGCAAAACACAUAUCAUGUGACGAAUAAAAAUAUAGCCUCAAGUAAGGUUACCGAUAAUGUUGGAGACGAAAAAGGGGACGCCUUACGGGGCAUCCCCAAGCUUAGUUGCUUGGAUCUUCCUUGAAUAUUACCUUGCGGUGCCUUGGGCAUCCCAAGCUUAGGGUCUUGUCACUCCUUAUUCUCCUCAUAUCGACAUCUCACCUAAAACUCGAAAACUUCAAUCACACAAAACUUAACGGAACUUCGUGAGAUAGGUUAGUAUGAUAAAGAGCAAACCAUUUCACUUUGGUACUGUCAAAGACAAGAUUCAUAAUUAUUUCCACACAAUGCCUAUUGUAGCAUAUCAUUUCCACAAUUUACAUUGAGCAAUAUAAGCCAUAGAAACUAGGAAACAAGCAAAGUAUGCAUUGAAAACAGAAUUAUUCAAAAACAGAACAGUGUGUAGUAAUUUGUACUCCAACCAUACUUUUGCUACUCCAAAAAUUCUGAAAUAUUAGGACAACGUAGGGACUUUUUAUAUCUAUAACCUGUAAAAAAAAUCAGAUCAAAAGGACAUUCCAGUGAAUUUUCAAAAUUCCUGGACUAAGCACAAAUGGUUUUGUUUUUGGACAGAAUCAAGUCAACUAUCAUCCAUGCUAUCCCAAAGGCUUUACUUGGCAUUUUAUUGAAACAAAAGCAAUAAAACAUGAUUACUACAGUAGCUUAAUCAUGUUAACACACAAAAAUAGUAGGGGUAAAUGUUGGGUUGUCUCGCAACAAGUGAUAACCCACAAGUAUAUGGGACGCAACAGUUUUCGAGGGUAGAGUAUUCAACCCAAAUUUAAUGAUUCGACACAAGGAGAGCCAAAGAAUAUUCUCAAGUAUUCGCAGUUGAGUUGUCAAUUCAACCACACCUGGAUAAAUUAGUAUCUGCAGCAAAGUAUUUAGUAGCAAAGUAAUAUGGAAGUAACGGUAACGGUAGCAAAAGUAAUAUUUUUGGGUUUUGUAGUGAUUGUAACAGUAGCAACGGAAAAGUAAAUAAGCGAAGAACAAUAUGUGAAAACCUCAUAGGCAUUGGAUCGGUGAUGGAGAAUUAUGCCGGAUGCGGUUCAUCAUGUAACAAUCAUAACAUAGGGUGACACAGAACUAGCUCCAAUUCAUCAAUGUAAUGUAGGCAUGUAUUCCGAAUAUAGUCAUACGUGCUUAUGGAAAAGAACUUGCAUGGCAUCCUUUGUCCUACCUCCCGUGGCAGCGGGGUCCUAAUGGAAACUAAGGGAUAUUAAGGCCUCCUUUUAAUAGAGUACGGGAACAAAGAAUUAACACAUAGUGAAUACAUGAACUCCUCAAACUACGGUCAUCACCGGGAGUGGUCCCCAUUAUUCUCACUUCGGGGUUGCCGGAUCAUAACACAUAGUAGGUGACUAUAGACUUGCAAGAUAGGAUCAAGAACUCACAUAUAUUCAUGAAAACAUAAUAGGUUCAGAUCUGAAAUCAUGGCACACGGGCCCUAGUGACAAGCAUUAAGCAUAGCAAAGUCAUAGCAAUAUCAAUCUCAGAACAUAGUGGAUACUAGGGAUCAAACCCUAACAAAACUAACUCGAUUACAUGAUAAAUCUCAUCCAACCCAUCACCGUCCAGCAAGCCUACAAUGGAAUUACUCACGCACGGCGGUGAGGAUCAUAAAAUUGGUGAUGGAGGAUGGUUGAUGAUGACGACGGCGGCGGAUUCCCCUCUCCGGAGCCCCGAACGGACUCCAGAUCAGCCCUCCCAAGAGGUUUUAGGGCUUGGCGGCGGCUCCAUAUCGUAAAACGCGAUGAAUCCUUCUCCCUGGUUUUUUCUCCCCGAACACGAAUAUAUGGAGUUGGAGUUGAGGUCGGUGGAGCAUCAGGGGGCCCACGAGGCAGGGGGCGCGCCCAGGGGGGCAGGCGCGCCCCCACCCUCGUGGAUAGGUGGAGGCCCCCCUAACGUGUAUUCUUCUUCCAGUAUUUUUAGUAUUUUCCAAAAAUAUGUUCCGUGGAGUUUCAGGUCAUUCCGAGAACUUUUGUUUCUGCACAUAAAUAACACCAUGGAAAGUCUGCUGAAAACAGCGUCAGUCCGGGUUAGUUUCAUUCAAAUCAUGUAAGUUAGAGUCCAAAACAAGGGCAAAAGUGUUUGGAAAAGUAGAUACGACGGAGACGUAUCAACUCCCCAAGCUUAGACCUUUGCUUGUCCUCAAGCAAUUUGGUUGAUAAACUGAAAGUGAUAAAGAAAAACUUUUACAAACUCUGUUUGCUCUUGUUGUUGUAAAUAUGUAAAGCCAGCAUUCAUGUUUUCAGCAAAGAUUAUGACUAACCACAUUCACAAUAACUCUUAGGUCUCAUGUUUACUCAUAUCAAUGGCAUAAUCAACUAGCGAGCAAUAAUAAUAAAUUUCAGAUGACAACACUUUCUCAAAACAAUCAUAAUAUGAUAUAACAGGAUGGUAUCUCGCUAGCCCUUUCUGAGACCGCAAAACAUAAAUGCAGAGCACCUUUAAAGACCAAGGACUGACUAGACAUUGUAAUUCAUGGUAAAAGAGAUCCAAUCAUAGUCAUACCCAAUAUAAAUUAAUAAUAAUGGAUGCAAAUGACAGCAGUGCUCUCCAGCUGGUGCCUUUUAAUAAGAGGGUGAUGACUCAACAUAAAAGUAAAUAGAUAGGCCCUUCUCAGAGGGAAGCAGGGAUUUGUAGAGGUGCCAGAGCUCGGUUUUUGAAAUAGAGAUAAAUAAUAUUUUAAGCGGCAUACUUUCAUUGUCAACAUAACAACCAAGAGAUGGCGAUAUCUUCCAUGCUACACACAUUAUAGGCGGUUCCCAAACAGAAUGGUAAAGUUUAUACUCCCCCUCCACCAACAAGCAUCAAUCCAUGGCUUGCUCGAAACAACGAGUGCCUCCAACUAGCAACAGUCCCAGGGGGAGUUUUGUUUGCAAUUAUUUUGAUUUGAUUUUCAUAAAGCAUCGGACUGGGCAUCCCGGUGACCAGCCAUUUUCUCGUGAGUGAGGAGCGGAGUCCACUCCUCUUGAGAAUAACCCGCCUAGCAUGGAAGAUACGGACAGCCCUAGUUGAUACAUGAGCUAUUCGAGCAUACCAAACAGAAUUUCAUUUGAAGGUUUAGAGUUUGGCACAUACAAAUUUACUUGGAACGGCAGGUAGAUACCGCAUAUAGGAAGGUAUAGUGGACUCAUAUGGAAUAACUUUGGGGUUUAAGGAAUUGGAUGCACAAGCAGUAUUCCCGCUUAGUACAAGUGAAGGCUAGCAAAAGACUGGGAAGCGACCAACUAGAGAGCGACAACAGUCAUGAGCAUGCAUUAAAAUUAAUAAACAUUGAGUGCAAGCAUGAGUAGGAUAUAAUCCACCAUGAACAUAAAUAUCGUGAAGGCUAUGUUGAUUUGUUUCAACUACAUGUGUGAACAUGUGCCAAGUCGAGUCACUUAAAUCAUUCAAAGGAGGAUACCACCCCACUAUACCACAUCACAACCAUUUUAAUAGCAUGUUGGCACGCAAGGUAAACCAUUAUAACUCAUAGCUAAUCAAGCAUGGCACGAGCAACUAUGAUCUCUAAUUGUCAUUGCAAACAUGUUUAUUCAUAAUAGGCUGAAUCAGGAACGAUGAACUAAUCAUAUUUACAAAAACAAGAGAGGUCGAGUUCAUACCAGCUUCUCUCAUCUCAGUCAGUCCAUCAUAUAUUGUCAUAAUUGCCUUUCACUUGCACGACUGAACGAUGUGAAAAUAAUAAGAGUGCACGUGCAUUGGACUAAGCUGGAAUCUGUGAGCAUUCAAUAAGCAGGAGAAGACAAGGCAAUAUGGGCUCUUGGUUAAAUCAACAACAAUGCAUAUAAGAGCCACUUCAACAAUUUAAUCAUGAUCUUAUCCUAUCGACCCCCAAAUAAAAGAAAAGAAAUAAAAAUAUUUACACGGGAAAGCUCCCAACAAGCAAAAGAAGAAGGGGAAAUCUUUUUGGGUUUUCUUUUAAUUAUUACUACUACAGCAAGAAAGGUAAACUAGCUAAAGCUACACUAAUUUUUUUUUGUUUUUCUUAAGGUUUAUUAAACACACAAGAAGAGAGCAAGAAAAAGAAAAUAAACUAGCAUGGAUAUUACAGUGAAAGAGUAUGAGCACCGACAUCUAGCAAUGAGUGUGUGAACAUAAAUGUAAUGUCGGUGAGAAAUACGUACUCCCCCAAGCUUAGGCUUUUGGCCUAAGUUGGUUUAUUGCCACUGAUGGCCUGGUGGAUAUCCAUAGUUGUAGUUGGGGUCGUACUGAGAUGCAGCGGUCAUUGCAUCGUGUGCUGCAGCUUGGAGGCGAGCUAUCUCAGCCCUCCUCUUAUACUCCUCUGCCUCCUCUCUGGUUAUAAAAUGUCUCCCUUUUGCCUGAAAGUCAAAGAAAGCAGGAGCAGGAAGAACGACUAGAUAGGUGCGUCGUCUGCCAAAGAUUAGUCGGUACUGGAGAGGUUGUUCAUUUCUCUCAAUAAACUGAUGACGAACCAUAGCCUCAUAAUCUAAAUAAGUAGGAGGCAACUCAAUAUCAUCCUCACGUAUGUCUACACCAAGAAAGUUAGCUAAGCGGGUUGCAUAAAUUCCACCAAAGAAAUCUCCAUUAAAUCUAUUAUGAUGCAACCUAUGUGCAACAAUGGCUCCCAAGUUAUAAGAUUUGUCUCCUAACACAGCACUCCUAAGAAUACUGAGGUCAGGGACACACAUGUGACAUGCUUCAUCCUUACCAUUUAUGCACCUACCUAUGAAGAGAGCAAAAUAAUGUAUAGCAGGAAAAUGAAUGCUCCCUAUGGUAGCUUGUGUUAUAUCUCUAGAUUCCCCCACAGUUAUACUAGCAAGAAAUUCUCUAAAUUUAGAUUUGCGAGGUUCACUAGUACUACCCCAUUAUGGAAGUUUGCAAGCAAUGGUAAAAUCCUCUAAGUCCAUAGUGUAAGAUUUUUCAUAGAGAUCAAAUAGGACAGUUUGAGAAUUACGUGAAGAUGAAUAUUCAAACCUCCUCACAAAUGAACUAGUGAGAUAGUGGUACUGGCUGCACUUUUCUCCCUCGAAGCUCACAAGAUCAGCGUUACGCAAAUACGCGUUAAAUUCUUCCUUGAUUCCCGCUCGAUCCAUAAAGCCUUCUGAAGGCCAUUCACAAGGCCGCACUGGAGCGUUCCUUGGUGGCUCAUCAUCGGCAUCGCGCAUUGCGAGCCUGGGUCCUUGCUUCCUUGAAGGACCACCUUGGUAUAUUUUCCUAAGCAUAUUUCUUCCUCUGAAAAAUUUCUGAAAUUUUUAGUAACUUCAAAUAAAAGUGAACCAAGCUCAACAAAAUUGAUAGCAACUACUCCUACAAGUGCCUAGAGCCUAUAUCAUGCAUUAGAACUACUUGGAACCAUAUAAAUUUGACAUGCAAGCUCAAGAACAUGGUCACCUAGGCAGCACAAAUUUGCAAUGAAUAAAGCACUAGAACAAAAACUAAUUGGGCCAAUGGAGGAGUCACAUACCAAGGAACAAUCUCCCCAAGCAGUUUUGAGAGAGGUGCUUUGAGCAAGGAUAUCGAAAAUAGCAGCAAAAUGAGCUAGAACUCGUGCUUGAGCUGGAUGGAGAUUUUUUUUGGAGGAAGAAGAAGUGUGUGGUGGCUGGCAUAAGUGGAGGGGGCCACCGUGGGCCCACGAGGCAGGGGGCGCGCCCUGGACCCUCGUGGCCAGGUGCUUCCUCCCCCUGCUAUGUUCUCAGUGCCAGAAAUUCUCAAAUAUUCUAGAAAAAAAUCAUAUUCCAUUUUCAGGGCAUUUGGAGAACUUUUAUUCUCGGGGUAUUUUAUAUUGCACGGAUAAUUCAGGAAACAGACAGAAAAAUACUAUUUUUACUUUAUUUCAACUAAAUAACAGAAAGUAAAAGGAGGGUACAGAAGGUUGUGCAUUCUAACUUCAUCCAUCUCAUGCUCAUCAAAAGGAAUCCAUUAACAAGGUCGAUCAAGUCUUGUUAACAAACUCAUUCCGAAUAACAUGGAACCGGAGAAAUUUCGAAUAACACUAUGUUACCUCAACGGGGAUAUGCACAUCCCCAAUAAUGAGAAUAUCAUAUUUCUUCUUGACAGUAGGAAGAGGAAAUUCAAAACCUCCAAAAAUAAUCGAUGGAAUUUUUCCAAUAGAGUUGAUACUAUGAACUUGAGGUUGUUUCCUCGGAAAGUGUACCAUCUGCUCAUUACCAUUAACAUGAAAAGUGACAUUGCCUUUGUUGCAAUCAAUAACAGCCCCUGCAGUAUUCAAAAAGGGUCUUCCAAGAAUAAUAGACAUAAUAUCGUCCUCGGGAAUAUCAAGAAUAACAAAGUCCGUCAAAAUAGUAACGUUUGCAACCACAACAGGCACAUCCUCACAAAUGCCGGCAGGUAUAGCAGUUGAUCUAUCAGCCAUUUGCAAAGAUAUUUCAGUAGGCGUCAACUUAUUCAAAUCAAGUCUGCGAUAUAAAGAGAGAGGCAUAACACUAACACCGGCUCCAAGAUCACAUAAAGCAGUUUUAACAUAGUUUCUUUUAAUGGAGCAUGGUAUAGUUGGUACCCCUGGAUCUCCUAGUUUCUUUGGUAUUCCACCCUUAAAAGUAUAAUUAGCAAGCAUGGUGGAACUUUCAGCUUCCGGUAUCUUUCUUUUAUUAGUGACAAUUUCUUUCAUAUACUUAGCAUAAGGAUUCAUUUUGAGCAUAUCAGUCAAACGCAUACGCAAAAAGAUAGGUCUAAUUAUUUCAGCAAAGCGCUCAAAAUCCUCAUCAUCCUUUUUCUUGAAUGGUUUGGGAGGAAAAGGCAUGGGUUUCUGAACCCAAGGUUCUCUUUCUUUACCAUGUUUCCUAGCAACAAAGUCUCUCUUACCAUAACGUUGAUUCUUUGAUUGUGGGUUAUCAAGAUCAACAGCAGGUUCAAUUUCAACAUCAUUAUCAUUGCUAGGUUGAGCAUCAUCAUGAACAUCUUCAUUAGUAUUUUCACUUGGUUCAUGUUCAUUACCAGAUUGUGUUUCAGCAUCAGAAAUAGAUAUAUCAUUUGGAUUCUCAGGUGUUUCAGCAAUAGGUUCACUAGAAGCAUGCAAAGUCCUAUCAUUUUUCUUUUUCUUCUUUCUAGAAGAACUAGGUGCAUCUAUAUUAUUUCUCUGAGAAUCUUGCUCAAUUCUCUUAGGGUGGCCUUCAGGAUACAAAGGUUCCUGAGUCAUUUUACCAGUUCUAGUAGCCACUCUAACAGCAUAAUCAUUAUUCUUACUAUUUAAUUCAUUGAGCAAAUCAUUUUGAGCUUUAAGUACUUGUUCCACUUGAGUGGUAACCAUAGAAGCAUGUUUACUAAUGAGUUUAAGUUCACCUUUAACUCUAGACAUAUAAUGACCCAAGUAUUCAAGCGUAUCGGAAUUAUAUUUCAAUUGUCUACCAAAAUAAGCAUUGAAGUUUUCUUGUUUGACAAUAAAAUUAUCAAACUCUUCUAAGCAUUGUCUAGCAGACUUAUAACGAGGAAUAUCACCUUCAUAAAAUCUAUAGAGAGAAUUUACCUUUACUACCUGUGUCGGGUUAUCAAGACCAUGAGUUUCUUCAAUAGGUGAUGGAUUAAGACCAUAUGUUCUUCAACAGGCGGUAAAUUAAGACCACGAAUCUCUUCAAUAGGUGGUAAAUUCUUAACAUCUUCAGCUUUAAUACCUUUUUCUUUCAUAGAUUUCUUUGCCUUUUGCAUAUCUUCAGGACUGAGAAAUAGAACACCCCUCUUCUUCGGAGUUGGUUUAGGAAUAGGCUCAGGAGCUGGCUCAGAAAGUAUCCAAUUAUUUUCAUUGGUCAACAUAUUAUUCAAUAGAAUUUCAGCUUCAUCCGGUGUUCUUUCCCUGAAAACAGAACCAGCACAACUAUCCAGGUAAUCUUUGGAAGCAUUGGUUAGUCCAUUAUAAAAGAUAUCAAGUAUUUCAUUUUUCUUAAGAGGAUGAUCAGGCAAAGCAUUAAGUAAUUGGAGAAGCCUCCCCCAAGCUUGUGGGAGAUUCUCUUCUUCAAUUUGCACAAAAUUAUAUAUAUCCCUUAAAGCAGCUUGUUUCUUAUGAGCAGGGAAAUAUUUAGCAGAGAAGUAAUAAAUCAUAUCCUGGGGACUACGCACACAACCAGGAUCAAGAGAAUUAAACCAUAUCUUAGCAUCACCCUUUAAUGAGAACGGAAAUAUUUUAUGAAUAUAAAGGUAGCGAGUUCUCUCAUCAUUAGUGAAUAGGGUUGCUAUAUCAUUUAAUUUAGUAAGAUGUGCCACAACAGUUUCAGAUUCAUAGCCAUAAAAAGGAUCAGAUUCAACCGAAGUAAUUAUAUCAGGAUCAACAGAGAAUUCAUAAUCCUUAUCAGUAACACAGAUAGGUGAAGUAGCAAAAGCAGGGUCAUGUUUCAUUCUAGCAUUAAGAGAUUGUUGCUUCCAUUUAGCUAAUAACUUAUUAAGAUCACUUCUAUCAUUGCAAGCAAGAAUGGCUCUAGCAGAUUCUUCAUCCAGAACAUAACCCUCAGGCACAACAGGCAAUUCAUAUUUAUUAGGGGGAGAGUCUUCAUCAUCACUAUCUUCAAUAUUAUUAGUUUCAAUAAUUUCAUUCUCUCUAGCCCUAGCAAAUUGUUCAUCAAGAAAUUCACCAAGUGGCACAGUAGUAUCAAGCAUAGAAGUAGUUUCAUCAUAAGUAUCAUGCAUAGCAGAAGUGGCAUCAUCAAGAACAUGCGACAUAUCAGAAUUAAUAGCAGAAGCAGGUUUAGGUGUCGCAUGCUUACUCAAAACAGAAGGUGAACCAAGUGUAGAGCUAGAUGGCAGUUCCUUACCUCCCCUCGUAGUUGAGGGAUAAAUUUUUGCUUUCUCGUCUUUCAAGUUCUUCAUAGUGACCAGCAAAUAUAAAUCCCAAGUGACUCGAAGAAUAGAGCUAUGCUCCCCAGCAACGGCGCCAGAAAAUAGUCUUGAUAACCCACAAGUAUAGGGGAUCGCAACAGUUUUCGAGGGUAGAGUAUUCAACCCAAAUUUAUUGAUUCAACACAAGGGGAGCCAAAGAAUAUUCUCAAGUAUUCGCAGUUGAGUUGUCAAUUCAACCACACCUGGAUAACUUAGUAUCUGUAGCAAAGUAUUUAGUAGCAAAGUAAUAUGGAAGUAACGGUAACGGUAGCAAAAGUAAUAUUUUUGGGUUUUGUAGUGAUUGUAACAGUAGCAACGGAAAAGUAAAUAAGCGAAGAACAAUAUGUGAAAAGCUCGUAGGCAUUGGAUCGGUGAUGGAGAAUUAUGCCAGAUGCGGUUCAUCAUGUAACAAUCAUAACAUAGGGUGACACAGACCUAGCUCCAAUUCAUCAAUGUAAUGUAGGCAUGUAUUCCGAAUAUAGUCAUACGUGCUUAUGGAAAAGAACUUGCAUGGCAUCCUUUGUCCUACCCUCCCGUGGCAGCGGGGUCCUAAUGGAAACUAAGGGAUAUUAAGGCCUCCUUUUAAUAGAGUACGGGAACAAAGAAUUAACACAUAGUGAAUACAUGAACUCCUCAAACUACGGUCAUCACCGGGAGUGGUCCCCAUUAUUCUCACUUCGGGGUUGCCGGAUCAUAACACAUAGUAGGUGACUAUAGACUUGCAAGAUAGGAUCAAGAACUCACAUAUAUUCAUGAAAACAUAAUAGGUUCAGAUCUGAAAUCAUGGCACUCGGGCCCUAGUGACAAGCAUUAAGCAUAGCAAAGUCAUAGCAACAUCAAUCUCAGAACAUAGUGGAUACUAGGGAUCAAACCCUACACAAACUAACUCGAUUACAUGAUAAAUCUCAUCCAACCCAUCACCAUCCAGCAAGCCUACGAUGGAAUUACUCACGCACGGCGGUGAGCAUCAUGAAAUUGGUGAUGGAGGAUGGUUGAUGAUGACGACGGCGACGCAUUCCCCUCUCCGGAGCCCCGAACGGACUCCAGAUCAGCCCUCCCGAGAGGUUUUAGGGCUUGGAGGCGGCUCCGUAUCGUAAAAUGUGAUGAAUCCUUCUCCCUGGUUUUUUUCUCCCUGAACACGAAUAUAUGGAGUUGGAGUUGAGGGCGGUGGAGCGUUAGGGGGCCCACGAGUCUGGGGGCGCGCCCCCCACCCUCAUGGACAGGUGGAGGCCCCCCUGACGUGGAUUCUUCUUCCAGUAUUUUUUAUAUUUUCCGAAAAUAUGUUCCGUGGAGUUUUAGGUCAUUCCGAGAACUUUUUUUUCUGCACAUAAAUAACACCAUGGAAGGUCUGCUAAAAACAGCGUUAGUCCGGGUUAGUUCCAUUCAAAUCAUGCAAGUUAGAGUCCGAAACAAGGGCAAAAGUGUUUGGAAAAGUAGAUACGACGGAGAUGUAUCAAGAAGCGCUUUUCUUUAAUGCCUUUUAGCUAGGCAUGAUGAGUUCAAUGAUGCUCACAUAAAAGAUAAGAAUUGAAACAUAACAAGAGCAUCAUAAAUCACAUGGCAAGCACAUUUAAGUCUAACCCACUUCCUAUGCAUAGGGAUUUUGUGAGCAAACAAUUUAUGGGAACAAGAAUCAACUAGCAUAGGAAGGCAAAACAAGCAAAACUUCUAGAUUUUCAACACAUAGAGAGGAAACUUGAUAUUAUUGCAAUUCCUACAAGCAUAUGUUCCUCCCUCAUAAUAAUUAUCAGUAGCAUCAUGAAUGAAUUCAACAAUAUAACUAUCACAUAAAGCAUUCUUUUUACGAUCCACAAGCAUAUAAAAUUUAUUACUCUCCACAUAAGCAAAUUUAUCUCAUCAAUAGUAGUGGGAGCAAAUUCAACAAAAUAACUAUCAUGUGAUUGAAAAUUAAAAAUCAUGAAGACAAGUUUCAUGGUUAUCAUUAUUCAAUAUAACAUACAUGUCAUCACCAUAAUCAUCAUAAAUAGCAACUUUGUUGUCAUAAUCAAUUGAAACCUCUUCCAAAAUAGUGGAUUCAUCACUAAAUAAAGUCAUGACCUCUCCAAAUCCAUUUUUUCAAUAUUGUAACAAGAUUCAACACCCUCCAAAAUAGUGGGAUCAUUACCUAGAGUUGACACUCUUCCAAACCCACUAUCAUCAAUAUAAUCAUCAUAAAUAGGAGGCAUGCAAUCAUUAUAACAAAUUUGCACAUCAAAUCUUGGGGGACUAAAAAUAUCAUGUUCAUCAAAUAUAGCAUCCCCAAGCUUAUGGCUUUGCAUAUCGUUAGCAUCAUUGAUAUUCAAAGAGUUCAUACCAACAACAUUGCAAUCAUGCUCAUCAUGCAAUGAUUUUUUUGUCAAACAUUUUAUAGAAUUCUUCUUCUAUCAAUUGAGCACAAUUUUCCUUUCCAUCAUUUUCACGAAAGAUAUUAUAAAGAUGAAUAAUAUGAUGCAAACUAAAUUCCAUUUUUUUGUAGUUUUCUUUUAUAAACGAAACUAGUGAUAAAACAAGAAACUAAUUAAAAGAUUCGAUUGCAAGAUCUAAAGAUAUACCUUCAUGCACUCACCUCCCCCGCAACGACGCCAGAAAAGAGCUUCGUUGACGGGGUGUGAGUGCCGCUUACCUAACCUCCCCGGCAACGGCGCCAGAAAAGAGCUUGAUGUCUACUACAAAACUUGUUCUUGUAGACUCGUGUUGGGCCUCCAAGCGCAGAGUUUUGUAGGACAGUAGCAAUUUUCCCUCAAGUGGAUGACCUAAGGUUUAUGAAUCCGUGGGAGGCGUAGGAUGAAGAUGGUCUCUCUCGAACAACGCUGCAACCAAAUACAAGAAAUCUCUUGUGUCCCCAACACACCCAAUACAAUGGCAAAUUGUAUAGGUGCACUAGUUCAGCGAAGAGAUGGUGAUAAAAGUGUAAUAUGGAUGGUAGAAAUAUAUUUUUAUAAUCUGAAUAAAUAAAAACAGCAAGGUAGCAAAUAGUAAACGGGCACAAAAAUAGUAUUGCAAUGCUUGGAAAUGAGGCCUAGGGUCUGUACUUUCGCUAGUGCAACCUCUCACUACUAGGGAAAAGCCUAUACACAGAAUCUUACCAGCAGUGUGUUUUAAAAUAAGGCGAUGCUGCUAUAUAGCAGCAGCGCGCUCCAGCACAACACGCUGCUGAAAUAAAAGUAGCAGUAGCGCGCUUCCUCUAAGCCGUGCUACUGCUAUAAUUGCCACGACCCUGCCGCGAAGCUAGUCUUAGCAGCAGCGCGUUAACAUGGAGAGCGCUACUGCUACAGAUCAUAGCAGUAGCGCAUUCCCGUAAUACCCGCUACUGCUAAGUUUACUAAAAAAAUAGUCACACCUCGCUCCGCGAAGAGGGUUUCUACCACCUUAAAUAUGUUACUUCUCAAACUAUCACAAGCACUUGGUUUUCAUUGAACUCUAUGUGUAAAAUUUGUGGCCGCAAUAUGAGUCUUCCCCUGUUCCUAAACCGGUGAGGACUCAUGUUGACAAAUCAGAUUGUACACAAAAAGAUCAUUGAUAAUCAAUGUAUUUUUUAUGUCUAUUUUUACAUGCUGACACAUAGCAGUAGUGCGUUCUGUGUGAAAUGCGCUACUGCUAGGUCAUUAUAGCGUGCUACUGCUAAGCCAUUAUAUCUCCCACCCCCCACUCUCCUCUAUCCGAUCCACUCACACUCACACUCACUCGAUCUCCCCCUCAACCCCCCUGCGCCGGUCCUCCCCCGCAGGCCGCCCUCGUCCCCACUGGCCGCCAUCGCCUACCCCUCCUCACUCUGCGCCACCGUUACCUCCUCCUCCUCGCUGGUCUCGGUACCGCCCUCCACCUCCGUCCUUCCUCCACUCGCCGCCGGCCGGCCCCUCCUCGCUCCGCCUUCCUCCUCCGUCCUACUCUCUCCUCCCUCCUCAAGUCGCCCCUCCUUCUCCCUCCUCCCUCCUCCAUCCACAACCCCUCCUCCCUGCUACAUUUUCAUUUAGUAGGCUAGUUCGUAUGCAACAUUUUGAUUUCGUUGAUAUGAUUUAGUUGAUUUAGUAGGCUAGUUGAUUUAGUUCAUUUAGAACAUUUUGAUUUAGUUUAUUUAGUAGGCUAGUUGAUUUAGUAGGCUAGUUGAUUUAGUUGAUUUAGUAGGCUAGUUGAUUUAGUUGAUUUAUAGAACAUUUUGAUUUAGUUUAUUUAGUAUGCUAGUUGAUAGCUCUGAAGAUUUGGCACCACCUAGCUAGAUGCUUGGAAAGAAACGCACAAUUUUAUUGUUAUUUUUUCUGUACAUGGAUAGCUAGAUGCUUUUGUUUUUCUGUAAUAAGCUUUUUUUGGCAAAAGGUAGGUGCCAAUUUAGUUAAUUUGCCACUUGUUUUUUUAAUCAAUUAUCUUAGGCAAUAGGGGCCAAAUUAGAUGAAAUGUCUUGGUAGGUGGUACGCUGAUUUGGUAGAUACUUGUGAAAAGUUUUUUCGGCAAUAGGUGCCACUGAAAUGCUUUGGUAGGUGGUAUCUUGUCAUCUUAUAUGUUACUAGAUCUUAGGAUUAUAGUUGUCCAUCAAAUUGCCUCUCAUGGAAGAAGAAUCAAAUUGCUUCUCGCGGAAGAAGAACCAAAUCUUAUUAGGCAAGAUUUGGCAUUUGCCUGCUAGCUGUUGGUUCUAUUCUAGAAGGUGUUAGUAUGCUGUGAAAAUAUAACUAAAGAAGAACCAAAAAUAUCACAUGCUACUGUUUUUUUUCCUGUGAAGUGGAUCGUUAAUCCUUUGCUCAUAUUGCUUUAGGGAAAUGGCGCCACCACCACCACCGCCAUGUCGACUGUGCAAGUCAAGGUGCGCCAGCAGCCUUGCAACUGGCAAGCUAUUCGGCAUCUACUUCCAGCCGAGUUUUCAUCGUGCGGCGGUAAGAAAUUAUAUGAAAUGUAAAAACUAUUUUAUAUUUAGUGUUGGCAUUACUGCAUUGUGUCAUUUUGCUUUUUUACACAGAUCGUCCCAUGCAAUGUGAGGUUGAAAUUCAACAAGAUGACAGUAGACACUGUGACAUUUGAGGCUCCUGGGUGGGCGUACACUAUGGAGGUCGAGAAAGGACGCAAUAUGUCGCAGAUUGGAGGAGAUGGAUGGGCCCGUUUCCUCGCCCGCAUGCGUCUUACUGGUGGUGAGUUGAUCAGCUUCUCCUUCAGAGCAGAAAGACCCAAGCUGGCUGUCAUUUAUAUCAACCUGGUGGAAGAUGAUGAAGAUGACGAAGAUGAUGAAGAUAAUGAGGACCCACUCGAUGAAGAUGAUGAGGACCCACUUCAUGAAGCCAUCGUAGCUCAAAGAAUGAGGCUGAGCGAGGAGGAGGUGUGCAACCUAUGGGACAUAAUUCCACCACGUGAUGACUUUGUCGGGGUGCCAUUCGUGACCCGCCUGACAAGUACCAUGGUCGAUCGGCAUGAUAUGGUAUGUUAUACUUACAAAUGCAAAUUAUCCGAUGAUAUGCUUAGUGUAGAGUCCAAUGAUAUGCUGUGUGGAAUCUAGUCGAUGAUAUGCUUUAGUGUAGAGUCCGAUCACAUCCUUAUUAGUGUAGAAUCCAAGGAACUAUUAAUAGUGUAGAUAAUCCAUAUAUACUUAUUAGUAGAAUUCAUGCUUAGUACAAAUGUGUAGUACUGUGUCUUUUGAUAGUGUAGAAAUCUAUACUUAACAGAAAUAUAUUUGCAAGAGUAUGUGCGAGGCUAUUUAUUAAUUGAUAUGUUUUUCUUAUUCAGAAAUUGCCAAAGAGCCUAUCUGUGAGUUGUGGUAUCGAGCGUGAUGAAGAAGGCUCAGCUGGACUACGCCUUACCGCAAGGGGCUCCGUCACCACCUGUACUUACUGCAUGGACACGGACGGUCGCACACACUUAAACUCGGUUGGGUGGAAGAGAUUCCUCGUUGGCAAGAAUCUUCGUGUUGGACAGGCCAUCCUAAUUACUAUCAGGAACACCCACCGCCCAGGCUUGAGGAUGAUGAUCGUCGUCGAUAUCAUCUAGAACUACAUAUGUGUGUGUGGCUAUAUCAUCUAGAACUACAUAUGAUGAUAGUCGUCGAUAUCAUCUAGAACUACAUAUCAUGAUCGCCGUCGAUACAUCUAGUACUACAUAUGAUGAUCGUCGUCGAUAUCACCUAGUACUGCUUGAGGAUGCAUGUUGACUAUAUAUGAAAUUUUUAUCUAGUACUCCCUCCGUUCCAAAUUACUCAUCGUGGUUUCAGUUCAAAUUUGAACUAAAACCACGACGAGUAAUUUGGAACGGAGGGAGUACUACCUAGUACCUAUAAUGCUUUAUGAAAUUGAUAUCUAGUAGUACCUAGUAUCUGGAAAUUGCAGUUUAUUGNNNNNNNNNNNNNNNNNNNNNNNNNNNNNNNNNNNNNNNNNNNNNNNNNNNNNNNNNNNNNNNNNNNNNNNNNNNNNNNNNNNNNNNNNNNNNNNNNNNNNNNNNNNNNNNNNNNNNNNNNNNNNNNNNNNNNNNNNNNNNNNNNNNNNNNNNNNNNNNNNNNNNNNNNNNNNNNNNNNNNNNNNNNNNNNNNNNNNNNNNNNNNNNNNNNNNNNNNNNNNNNNNNNNNNNNNNNNNNNNNNAUGAAAGAUAUAGCAGUAGCGCGGGGCUAGGAAACCACUACAACUAAUUAAUAGUAGCGCGUUCCGGAAAAGCGCUGCUGAUAUAGUCAAUAGUAGCAGCGCGGGUACAGACCGCGCUACUACUAACAGUUAGCUGUAGCGCCGUAUUAGUAGCGCGGAUGCCCGCGAUGCUGAUAGCCUCAAAACCCGCGCUACUACUUGGGUUUUCCCUAGUAGUGUCUCAACAAUGCUAAUAUAAUUGGAUCACAUAACCAUCCCUGAAAGUGCAACGAAGAAUCACUCCAAAGUUCCUAUCUAGCGGAGAACAUAAGACGGAAUUGUUUGUAGGGUACGAAACCACCUCAAAGCUAUUCUUUCCGAUCAAUCUAUCCUAGAGUUCGUACUAAAAUAACAUGAAGCUAUUCUUUCCGAUCGAUCUAACCAAGAGUUCGUACUAAAAUAACACCAAAGCAAAUUCAGAAUCAUAAUAUUCAAUCCAACACAAAGAACUUCAAAGAGUGCCCCAAGAUUUCUACCGGAGAAACAAAGACAAGAACGUGCAUCAAUCCCUAUGCAUAGAUUACCCCAAUGUCACCUCGGGAAUCCGCGAGUUGAAUGCAAAAACAUAUAUCAAGUGAAUCAAUACGAUACCCCAUUGUCACUACGAGUAUUCAAUUGCAAGACAUAUAUCGAGUGUUCUCAAAUCCAUAAAAGUAUUCAAUCCGAUAACAACAAAAUCUCAAAGGGAAAAACUCAAUUCAUCACAACAAGAUAGAGAGGGGAAAACACCAUAUGAUCCGACUAUAUUAACAAAGCCCGCGAUACAUCAAGAUCGUGACAUCUCAAGAACACGAGAGAGAGAGAGAGAGAGAGAGAGAGAUUAAACACAUAGCUACUGGUACAAACCCUCAGCCCCGAGGGUGGACUACUCCCUCCUCAUCAUGGUGGUCGUAGGGAUGAUGAAGAUGGCCACCGGUGAUGAUUUCCCCUCCGGCAGGGUGCCGGAACGGGGUCUAGAUUGGAUCUCAUGGAUACAGAGGCCUUGCGGCGGUGGAACUUCUGAUCUAGUGUUACCCCGAAGGGUUUUGGAAUGUUUGAGAAUUUAUAGGGCGAAGAGGGGGUGCGGGAGGCCACCGAGGUGGGCACAAACCACCUGGGCGCGCCUGGGCCCCCAGGCGCGCCCUGGUGGUUGUGCCCCCCUCGGGGCACCCCCCCCCCCCAGGUGCUGCUCUGGACCUUUGGAUGUCUUCUGGUCCGUAAAAAAUCCACAAAAAGUUUCGCGGUGUUUAUACUCCGUUUGAUAUUGAUUCCUGCGAUGUAAAAAACAUGCAAAAAACAGCAAUUGGCACUUGGCACUAUGUCAAUAGAUUAGUACCAAGAAAUGAUAUAAAAUGACUAUCAAAUGAUUAUAAAACAUCCAAGAAUGAUAAUAUAACAGCAUGGAACAAUCAAAAAUUAUAGAUACGUUGGAGACGUACGUAUCAGCGCCUCCGUUACCUACCCUACGCGAUGCAUGCAGCAUACGUGGCUAAGGAUAAGGGCGUGGUGGGAAGAGUGAAUUGGCAGUUUCUACCCCGUGCGUUAAAGUCAUUCACGGGCAUUACAAGGAACCAAGAUCUUAGGAGGACCAACAUGUAGAUCAAGAGGACCGAGGUCAAGCCAGAGAAACAAGAUGCCACGAGGAGAAAAGCCUUCCUUGUCGGGCAGACGAGCUCGACAAGGGCGGGGUCGCCCUCGGAAAAGGAUGUCCAAGACGUCCCGGCAGGGCCUGCCGGGACUCGCGGAGGCCAAACCACCUCACCCAGCCACUCUGCCACGACCCACGUCGUCAAUCAAUGCGGUGUCAAGCCGCAAGAUAAUUAAGUGGCAGCCGAUCGCCACAUGGCAGCCUCUUUCCACAGGAAAUGCCUACAGAUGACACCCGUCCUGCAACGUGUCAAGCGAGCAGGCGUGGAGCUGGCGAGACGGCCUGGCAAGGCUUGCCGGGCAACCAACGAUGUGACGUUGAGCGGCCCAUUUAAUGCGCUCUGUCAGCCUGCAGAGUUAGGUAUGAUAGCAUUGUUUGCUAUCUUAUCAGUGCAUAAUGACUGAUUUGCCAUUGUGGUGACCCCUUAAUCUGUAAAAGGAGGCCCAUGGCAACCGUAGAAAGGGUUGUUGGAAGGUUGCAGAACGCACACCCAUACGCGCGUAGCCACUGCCGCCCUUGCCGGCCAAGUGUACUACGCUCCGCCGCCAUUUUUCCACCAUCAAUCCACCAAAGCAGGAGUAGGGUUUUACGCCUCACGGUGGCCCGAACCUGGGUAAAAUUGCCUAUGUGAUCGCUGCCGCGCUGUCCCAGUUCUUCUGCUCUUUGUGCAACGCGACAUCCCCCUAAUGAACCAGCAAGGGGCCCUUGGUCCCAUAGGUGGCCGUUGUUCCCCACGACACCCCCCUCAUUAUCACAGCACCCGCUAUUUUAUGUGUAACUUCCCUCAUCAUUGCUUGUGUGGCAUGAAGGUUAAGAUCGAUGUCAUGCCUAACUACUCCUCGUCGUUGCCUGCCCCGGCCAAUGGCCCAAGUGCAACCAACACUUCCCUGCAUGUGCCUAUUUCUGCCAGUCACCUCUGUGCAGGCCAUAUGGGUUUAGCCUCACCAUCUUGCUUCUCAUUGCCGAUCUCAGUGCUUGAAUUCAUUUGCGCAGCCCCAGGCACAUGCGUACUUUAUGUAUAGUCAAGUAAUUAUUACUAGUAGUAAUUAUAUAUCUGUGAGUAAUUAUAUGUAUGCUUUCAUGUUUUUGUAUAUUUAUUUUGAUGGAUUCAUUAGAAAAAUAUUUUAGUUUUUGUAACUGUGAAUGACUAGAGGAGAGUUUCCUACAAUCCCUUUUCCAUUAAGUUUUUUCCAUUAAGUUAAACGAUGAGUGUUACAUGGGGGGCAGAAAAUCACAUAUUUACAUGCGGAGGAGGGGUGUUAGUAAGUCCUAAACAAGAAAGGUAAAAGAGAGAGGAAAGGAAAAACACUAAACAAGGGAAUACAAAGUGCCACUAGGGCAAAGUUAAGAAUAAAUGUGGAGAUGAACUCUCCAAGUUCAGCUUGGCUCUGUGCUUCAGCGUCCCAAAAAGUCCUCUUUAAACCUCCUCAACCAGGAUGCAUGUGAGUGGGGACUAUUUUUGAAUAUGAAACCAUUUCUGUCUUUCCAGAUGGACCAGGCUGCAACCACGAACAUGUCCAUAAACAUUGGCCCGGCCCAGUCGUUCUUGGCGUCAGACAGCCACCUAAAUCGGUCACCAUCUGUGCCCCAGUGUAUGUUCAGAGUGUUCCAACACCACGCGGAUAACGGGCAGUCGAAGAAACGAUGAUAAAAUAGUUUUUCAAAAUAAAGAACCAACUCUAGAUGAUAAAAGCAGAGUGAGGGGAAAUCAUGCAAGUUGUUACUCCGUUGUGCACUUGCUUCAACCGCAGGCGCAAUUGUGAGUCAUGGGAUCCAAACCGGAAGUGCCCACACCUGUUAUUUAAAUAAAUUAUUUUCACUCGGCGCAAAACAUAGCAUCCUUACAUCAGCAAACAAGAAAUAUAACAUCGCUCUGGCGGCCCGUGGCGGGGAGGGAAUCCUGGUGCCUCAGCUUCGGCUAGUCGAUGGGUUAGGAUUUUUAGUCCUCGCAUCAGUGGCACUUCUUUGUUGAGUCAACCUUUCGGGCAUCGAUUUUCCUCUAGUCCGCCAGUAGGGAAGGAUUAGACGGGGUCCGGCGUAGAGUCCUGCAAGCUCUCGGGGCGGCGAUGUUAGGCCCCAUGGAAAAUUAAAAAAAAUCUACGCACAUGCAAGAUCUAUCCAUCGAGAUGCAUAGCUACGAGAGGGGGAGAACAUCUACAUACCCUUGUAGAUCGCUAAGCGGAAGCCUUUAUCAACGCGGUUGAUGUAGUCGUACACCUUCACGAUCCAUUCCGAUCAAGUACCGAACGCACGGCACCUCCGCAUUCAGCACACGUUCAGCUCGAUGACGUCCUUGCCUUCUCGAUCUAGCAAGAGAGGCGAAGUAGUAGAUGAGUUCCGACAGCACGACGGCGUGGUGACGGUGGUGGUGAAACUGUUCCGCAGGGCUUCACCAAGCUCAACGGUUUAGGACGGAGGACGAACUAGAGGAAGGGGGGACGCCACACACGGCUUGGGGAUUCGUGGUGUGUAUUUUCCUCUCCUCUCCUCACAUAUAUAUAUAGGUGGAGGGGGGAGGCUGCCUAGGCGCGCCCCCAAGGGGGCCGGCGGCUGCCCUAGGUGCCUGCCCUAGCCACGCCCCCCUUUCCUUCUUAGGCGCGUGGGGGGAAGGCAGGAGGGAGCCCCCCCCCCCCCAUUCCUUUCCCAGCAUGGAAGAGAAGGAAAGAGGGGGUUGGCCCUCUUCCUUCCUUCCCUAGGGCCGGCUACCAUGAGGUGGGGGCGCGCCAGCCCCAUGUGGGCUGGUGUGCUCUCCCUCGUUGGCCUGUUUGGCCCAAUAUGCUCCCAUGGCCUCGGGAACCCCUUUCGGUGACCCGAUAAUUAUCCGGUGCAUUCCGAAACCCUUCCGGAGACCAAAUACUAUCAUUCUAUAUAUCAAUUACCUCCGGACCAUUCCGAAGCUCCCAUAUCCGUGAUCUUAUCCGGGACACGGAACAACAUUCGGUCACCAACAUACAUAACUCAUAUUAUACUAUAUCGUCAACGAACAUUAAGCGUGCGGACCCUAUGGGUUCGAGAAUGAUGUAGACAUGACCGAGACGCUUGUCUGGUCAAUAACCAAUAGCGGUACCUGGAUGCCCAUAUAGGUUCCUACAUAUUCUAUGAAGAUCUUUAUCGGUCGAACCUUUAUGACAACGUACGUAGUUCGAUUUGUCUGUCGGUAUGUUACUUGCCCGAGAUUCGAUCGUCGGUAUCUCCAUACCUAGUUCAAUCUCGUUAUCGGCAAGUCUCUUUACUCGUUCCGUAAUACAUCAUCUUGUAACUAACUCCCUAGUCAUUUUUCUUGCGCUUCUUGUGAUGCUAUAUUACCGAGAGGGCCCAGAGAUACCUCUCCGUCAUACGGAGUGACAAAUCCCAAUCUCGAUUCACGCCAACUCAAUAGACACCUUCGGAGAUACCUGUAGAGCACCUUUAUGAUCACCGAGUUACAUAGUGACGUUUGAUAGCACACAAGGUAUUCCUCCGAUAUCCGGGAGUUGCAUGAUCUCAUGGUCGAAGGAAUAUGUAUUUGACAUUAAGAAAGCAGUAGCAACAAAUUGAACGAUCAUUUGCUAAGCUAACGGAUGCGUCUUUUCCAUCACAUCAUUCUCCUAAUGAUGUGAUCCCGUUAUCAAAUGACAACUCAUGUCUAUGGUCAGGAAACCUUAACCAUCUUUCGAUCAACGAGCUAGUCUAGUAGAGGCUUACUAGGGACUUGGUAUUUGCUUAUGUAUUCACACAUGCAUUUAAGUUUACAAUCAAUACAAUUAUAGCAUGAAUAAUAAAUAUUUAUCAUGAUUGAGGAAAUAUAAUAAUAACCACUUUAUUAGCCUUUAGGGCAUAUUUCCAACUGUUUCCCACUUGCACUAGAGUCAAUAAUCUAGAUUACAUAGUAAUGAAUCUAACACCCAUGGAGUCUUGGCGCUGAUCAUAUUUUGCCCGCGGAAGAGGUUUAGUCAAUGGGUAUGCUACAUUCAGGUUCGUAUGUAUUUUGCAUAUUUCUAUGUCUCCAUCCGUGACCUUUUCACGAAUGGAGUUGAAGCGUCGCUUGAUGUGUUUGGUUCUCUUGUGAAACCUGGACUCCUUGGCUAAGCCAAUUGCUCCAGUGUUGUCACAAAAGAUUGUCAUUGGACCCGAUGCACUGGGUAUUACACCCAGAUCGGAUAUGAACUCCUUCAUUCAGACUCCUUCAUGCGCUGCUUCCAAAGCAGCUAUGUACUCCGCUUCACAUGUAGAGCCCGUCACAACGCUCUGGUUAGAACUGCACCAACUGACAGCUUCACCAUUCAAUAUAAAUAUGUAUCCGGUUUGCAACUUAGAGUUAUCCGGAUCUGUGUCGAAGCUAGCAUCGACGUAACCCUUUACGAUGAGCUCUUCGUCACAUCCAUAAACGAGAAACAUAUCCUUGGUCCUUUUCAGGUACUUCAGAAUAUUCUUGAUCGCUGUCCAGUGAUCCACUCCUGAAUUACUUUGGUACCUCCUUGCCAAACUUAUGGCAAGGCACACAUCAGGUCUGAUACACAGCAAGUCAUACAUUAUAGAACCUAUAGCUGAGGCAUAGGAAAUGACUUUCAUUCCCUCUCUAUCUUCUGCCAUGGUCAGACUUUGAGUCUGACUCAAUUUCACACUUUGCAACACAGGCAAGAACCCUUUCUUUGACUGGUCCAUUUUGCACUUCUUGAGAACUUUGUCAAGGUAUGUGCUUUGUGAAAGUCCUAUUAAGCGUCUCGAUCUAUCCCUAUAGAUCUUGAUGCCCAAAAUGUAAGCAGCUUCACCGAAGUCUUUCAUUGAAAAAUUCUUAUUCAAAUAUCCUUUUAUGCUAUCCAUAAAUUCUAUAUCAUUUCCAAUCAGCAAUAUGUCAUCCACAUAUAAUACCAUAAAUGCUACAGAGCUCCCACUCACUUUCUUGUAAAUACAGGCUUCAACGUAAGUGAGGUCCCAUGCGCCGCCCAGCUCGCCCACAUUAUAGCUUACCGCAAACGCGGUGCUCAGGACGCCCAAGUGCCGUAGUUGGUGCUGAGGUCCCAUGCGCCGCCCGUCUCGCCCACGUUGUAGGUUACCACAUGUUAGCUUAUAUAUUAGACCCGAGAUAUAUGUUAACAUGUGCUCCACUUAGAUAUGUAAUACUUCACUAAUUACAAGUUCAAAUGUAGCCUACAAAUACAUAUUUUCGAGACAAAUCAAACAAUCAUGCUAAUUAUAUAUCUAAUCUAAGUAUAAACCUCUGCCUGGUACAAGUCAAAGUUAUGCAAGUCUAGCUUAUGAAAUUCUAGAAUGAACAUGUUUCUUGACAAAUGUUGUAUGAGAGAGACAAUAAAAAUCUUUAUUAAAGAAGAAGCCCGAAUACAUACAAUCUACACAUAUAAUUACUUGGCUACAUGUAUACUUGCUAGUAAUAAUUACUUGACUAUACAUGACUUUAUACAUGUAUGUGCAGCUGCACAAAUGAACUCAAGCCAUGAGGCCAGCAACGGCAAGCAAGAUGGCGAGGCCAAAGCCCGUAGCCUCCACAGAGAUUGUGGCGGAGACGGGCGUCGGUGAGGGAGCGUUGCUUGCACUUGGGCCGCUGGCCGGGCUAGGCGAUGAAGAGGAGGAGCUUGGCAUGACAUCGAUCGUGACCUUCAUGCCACCCGCACAAUGGCCAGGGAAGCCGCAUAUGAAGUAGCGGGUGCCAGUGACGGUAAGGGCGAUGACAUCAUUCCCGGAGUUGAGGGUGGCAAUGGGGAUCGCAGUGCUGCAUGAGUCGUAGUCGGCCUUGCUGACCUCGAGGACAUCGUGCGCCUCAUGGGAGUACUUGAAGACGAUCUAGUCCUCGGGUUGGAAGUUCCUGGAGGACGCCCAUGUGCUGUAGUUGGUGCCGAGGUCCCACGCUCUACCGGGCUCGCCGACAUUGUAGAUUGCAGCCGAGGCGGUGCUCAGGAUGGCCAUCGCGGCCAUGGCAAGGAGAAUGGUUCUGGUGACGGCCAUGGCAGUAGGACCUGGAAGCACGGCAGUGAGAGCUAGCAGAGGAGAUACGAGUCGGAUGCUACUAUACUGAACCUUGAGGUCAGAUUGUGUUCCUUCUUUAGGUGUCUGUGUCGGGUCCUAUAUAUACAAACUCAUGGCCAGGUGGGUUGAAGAAACGCGUGCGGUAGGUGAAAGCGUAGAAUAUGGAGUACGCGGGAACACGAGGCUAGGCAUGCAGCUAGUACGUACUUGGUCAUAUACUCAAACACCUAGAUAGAUAGUAUAUAAUAAAUAAUAGACGGAAGAUGUUAAGACCUUUUCAAGCGUUCUCAUGGAGAGCUCCUGUUCGGCGCCUUAUGCGCCCGAACAGCUCCCUGGCGCCUGAAGGAGAUGUCUACUGGGCCGGCCCAGAAACCUUCGCUUGAUCGCUGCGCCUCUCAGCGAACAAGUAGAUCAACUACAAAAAACGAUAUUUUUUUGCAGGGAGUCGGAUUCGCACUCAACACCUCACCCUUCGCAUAUCAGUGCAUGAACCACUAGACCAUCAAACAACUUCUGUUCACAGACUUCGUUUUCCUUCUUUUAUCCUUUCUCCAGCUCGCAAAGCCCCUGGUGUGGCGAAGCGUCCCAAACCUUUUUUUUCUUUUUUUUUCUCUUUUUAUGUAAUGGUUUUAUUUGCCUUUUUCCUAAAUACGUGAAAUUUUCUAAAAAAAUCAACGGAAACAUUUUUUUAAAGAAAUGAACUUUUUUCAAAUUUGAAAAAAGUUCAUUGGUUUUUUAAGUUCAUCAAAAUUGAAGAAAGUUCAUCGAAUCUGAAAAAAAGUUCAUCGAAUUUUAGCAAAGUUCAUCGAAAUAUAAUAAAAGUUCAUCAUAAUUCAAAAAAAGUUCACUGAAUCUGGAAAAUAGUUCAUCAAUUUUUUGAAAAAGGUUCAUUGAAUUCGAAAAAGUUCAUCGAAUUAAAAAAAACCGUCGAAUUUGGAAAAAGUUCAUUGACUUAAAAAUGAGUUCAUCGAAUUUGAAAAAAGUUCAUCGCGUUUGCAAAAAAUUUCACCGAAUUAGAAAAAAGUUCAUCCAAUUUGAAGAAAAGUUCACUACAUUUAAAAAUAGUUCAUCAAAUUUUGAAAAAAGUUCAUCGAAGUUGAAAAAAAGUUCAUGAAAUCCGGUGAACAUUACGAAUUAGAAAAAGUAAAAAAAGCAAAAGAAAAAAGAAAAAGAAAAGAAGAAAGAAAAAGAAAAGAAGGAACACAACAGGUAAGAAAAUAUACUUGAUGAGAAAACGUUGAGUGGCGGGGUGGUUAUCACGUGGCACGCUGAACCGCUACCGCGCGUGUUCGAGUCCUCCCUGGUACUUCUUUUUUGCAUCAGUUUAGAUAGAAAGAAAGAACUUGGGCCGGCCCGCGUCGCGAGGGGGGGGGGUAUGCGCCCUCUACGAUUAACACUGUAUUCGGCGCUGAGGGCGCCGAAUAGGAACCAGCGUUCUCAUGGCAUAGCAGCCAGGGGCGGAGCUACAGGGUGGCCAGGGUGGGCCGCGGCCCACCCUGGGAUUUUGGGCCAGAUUAUUAUAUACCUAUGGAUUUUUAACCGGGCCAGAAAAAAAUCAGCCCAAAACACAUACCGAUUGAUCCAGCAGCGGAACGGAGCCACGCCCUCGUCUCAUCCACUGCAGGUCUGCAGCCGCCUCGUGCCCUCGUCUCGACGCCAUCUGGCCCUCGCCUCACCGCCGCCGUUCCUCGCGGCCUCGCCGGUCGCUGGCCGGAGCGGCGGAGCCCAGCCCGCCUCCCCUUCCCGCCCGGCGCUAGCCUGGCCCUGCCGCCCGCCCGCCCCUGCCUUGACCCGAGCCGCCUGUCGCCUGGCCCUGCCUCCGCCGGAGUCCGGCCCUCUGCCUCCCUGCAAAGCCGACGGCCGUCGGUGCCGCUCAGGCGCUCAGUAGCCAGUCUCCGAUGGCAGCACCGUAGCAACCAGCAAGUGAACACAUGCAUAUCAUGAAUUGAUGAACACAUGCAUAAUUUUCACAUCAUUUCUGUCUCAAUUAGCUUUAUUGAUAGAAACUAAUUUUUAUUGCAGAAUUGUUAAAGAAUGAAGAGGGGCGGAGACAUUGUUUCUCUAAAGAUAGGAAAGAAGAAGAAGGCAGGGAGAUGUGGCCGAAGAGCAAGCCGGAGAUGAGAAGUUUUCCUUGGAGUCAUUGAUCAAAUUAGUCAAGAGCUUGAAAAUUGGUUUAAUGAGAUUAAUAUGGAGUUGCUUUCUUGUAUGUCUGCUUUGAAUUUGGUGUACUUCUUCUAAAAUUGGUAUUGAUUCUACCGGUGGCAACAACAAAUGUUGAGAGAGCAUUUUCUGCUGUGAGUAUAGUUAAGAACAAGUUGAGAAAUAAGAUGGGUGAUAGUCUUUUGGAUGAUUGCCUAGUCACAUAUUGAGAGGGAUGCUUUUGCCGAGGUGAAUGAAGAUGAUAUAAUUGAUACUUUCAUGGCAAGGCAAAAGCGUAGGCCAGAAACAUAGCCUUUUUGAACUUCUCUAGGUAUGUAUUAUGAUCCAUAUAGUAUGCACUAUGUAUGCUUCUUUAUGCAAAACUUAAACUUAAUCGAGAAUUUUAGUGUGUUUGUAAGACAAUAAUGAUCUAUUUCUAUGUGAUAUUGGUAACUGGUUAGAACGUCCACAUGUCAUAUUUCUUGUAAAAAAAAUUGGGGGGGUCGGGCCACCCUGAUGUCAAAUGCUAGCUCCGCCACUGAUAGCAGCCAUUGCCUGCUGCUUUGCUUCAGUAUCGACGCGGUCUAGGCUCCAAGGAGACAUAGUUGACUAUAAUAACUCACAAACCUUGUAGAAGUAGAUCCAAAGGUCCAGCCGCAUUUAAACUCUCACUAUAGAAAAAAAAAUGUUCUCACUUCCUCUUAUUAAAACUGGCAGGCUUGUUGUAUGAAUUCCAUGUCACAACUUUCAACUUAAGAGGUAAUAGUCCUAUAUUAAAAUCAUGAAGUAAAUUUUUUAGACCGCGGAUUAAGCAGAGAAAUAAUGACCGACAUUGCAUCAUCCUGAAUUGCAAAAUAACAGCUUAAAAAAAAGAGUGAACGGAUAUUAUAUUAAAGUAAAUUUUAUGUAAUAAAAGGAUGGAUAUACAAUGGCGCCAACGAGGACUACUUUUGAUUAUAGUGAUGAAAAUUUUCUUGAAAGUUAAGUACACCGGACACACCCACCAACGUUGGAUAGACGUCUAUGGUCUAUUUGGACUAUUUGUGGUACAUGCUCAUAGCAUCUUUUUGCUAGGUAAGCCUUGAAAUUUCAGCAUUUUCUACUAACCCUCAUGCACUGUACAUUUUACUUCAAGGUGAAUUGAGGUUUAAAUGGUGAGAGCAGACGAUUUAUACACGGUGCCUGCUGGUCCAUAUUAUCCAGUCGGUCGCGUUUCUUGCAGAUCGGCGCCCAAAACAAAGUUAAAGCUGGCAGGGAAAGGGAAAACAUUUUAAUAAAAUAAGCGGUUAUUCCCUCAAAAUAAAAUAGGCGGUUAGCUAGUAGGGACCAUCUUGAUGAAUGUUCUUUACCUAAUGUCGAAGGUAUUUUUACAGUGGACGGGGCCAGGACAGGGGAAAUUUUGGUCCUUCACGGCGUCGAUAGUCAUCGAUCUCAGGGAAGAAUUCAUUCCCGAAAAGCACCCAUCACCGACUCCCAUGGCUCUCUCUCCCUCGAUAACGGUGACUGUCCCUUGCAACACUAGAAACAAGAACAUGUAUGGCACUCCACGAGCAAAGGACGGGAUUUUUGCCCAGCCGAAUUUCAUCCAGUAUGUUUCGGGUUGGGGGCAUCCUAAUUGUUCUCCACCAUUUGUGGCAGCUGGUUCUUGGGGACAGUUCAUUUACAAUCAGGGGCAAUACAAAUUACAUGUCUAAUCUAAGUAUAUAUUUCUGUAAUACAAGUUUAAGUUACGAAAGUGUUGGUUCUCACGGUUUAGCAAGAACGUGUGUCAAGACAAAUAUUGUAUAAGACCAAACGAAUUUUUAUUAAUCUCCAAAAUGAAUCAGCAAAACGCAAAACCUGAAUAUGUCCAACAUACACAUAACUACUUGACUAUACACACAUAUAGUUGCUAGUAAUAAUUACUUGACUAUACACAAAGUACACAUGUGCCUGCGGCUGCAGAGAUGCACUCAAGCCAUGAGGCCAGCAACGGCAAGCAAAACGGCGAGGCCAAAACCGGUGGCCUCCACAUUGGUGGCAGCGGAGGCAGGGGUCGGCGGGGGAGCAUUGCUUGCACUUGGUCCGCUGGCUGGGGCGGGUGACGAGAAGCCAGACAUGACAUCGAUCUUGACCUUCAUGCCACCCGCGCAAUGGCCAGGGAAGCCGCAAAUGAAGUACCGGGUGCCGGAGGCGGUGAGGGUGACGACAUCAUUCCCAGAGUUGAGGGUGGUGAUGGGGCUGGCGGUGCUGCAGGAGUCGUAGUCGGCCUUGCUGACCUCGAGGACAUCAUGCGCUUGAGGGGAGUACUUGAAGACGAUCUGGUCGUCGGCUUUGAAGUUCCUGGAGGACGCCCAUGUGCCGUAGUUGGUGCUGAGGUCCCACGCUCCGCCGGGCUCGCCAACGUUGUAGAUCGCCGCUGACGCGGUGCUCAGGAUGGCCAUUACAGCCACGGCGAGAAUGGUUCUCGUGACAGCCAUUGAGGUUUGAACUGCAAGGAGAGCUAGCAGAGGAGAUUACAAGGGAGGUGCUGAUGUAUUGGUCCUUGAGCGGGGAAUGUGUUUGCUUCCUUAGGUGGCGGUGUCCGGUCCUAUAUAUAGGACAAUACAGUCCGGGUGGGACGGAGAAACAUGUGCGGUUGGUGGAAACGUAGAAUGGAGUGCGUGUGCCUGGAUAUGGGACUUUGAAUGUUGUGUGUAGUAGGUGGGAACACAAGCAAGCUAGGCAUGCAGCUGGUACGUACUUGAUCAAAAUUGACUCAGUUUGUGAAGACCGGGCUGUGCUGUUAGCCUGCUGACCAUUUCACGCGUUCUUUUCCUUUUUCUUCAAUAUCGACGCGGUCUACAAGACAUGACGUAGACUAACACGAUCCACAUACCUUCUGACGUAGAUGCUAAAAUGUUGACAAAUCAUUUUUUAUUAGUGGAUUCGACAUAUUAAAGAGACCCUAAAAUGUUGUUGUCGGAAUUAUUUAAUUAUAUGUACUAAUUCAAUAUGAAGUACAAAUGGUACAUUUGGUCACUAUAAUGUUAAACUAUAUACCUAUAUUAAAAAGAGAUUUUUUUUUUAGGGAAUAUAUAAAUAAGAGCUUUUUUAUCACAUAGUAGAAAAUGGGGGUCCUACUGAUUUGGAGGCCCUGUGCAGCCGAACACUCUACACAGGUGCGUGGUACGGGCCUGCCGUCGGAGGCCUGUUGCAUGCCUUUAUUAGGAUCGUGCCUUGAAUAGGUUACAUGGAGGAUAUAGAGGCCAAGAUCCAAACGAAUUUCUACCAUUGCGGCCAAGAUAAACAUGGCCUUUCGUUUUAGAUAAAAUUUACUUGAUUGCAGGCUGGAAGCUCCAUUUUUACCAGUUUUAAAUUCCUAAUUGUAUGUGGUAUGAACGCUUUAAUUCUUGAUUUUGAUGCUCGUCUUUUAAGCAAUACAUAUCACUUGCUUUCUAUGUUGAUAGUUGUGACUUGUUUUGUUGGAACAAUGUUGUAACUUUUUGUAACACUGAAGCAGUAAUUUAAUUAGUUGUAGCGUGCAACUCAUGUAUUAGAAAGCUGGAAAUUAGACCGGAGAAAUCUAUCCAGCACUAGUAUCAAAAGUAGUCCUCGUCACCAUGAUAUAUCUAGGUUUUCCAUCAACAAUGACCGAAGGAGAGGAUCCGCAUGUGAAUGAAUUACUCAAAGAACCACAAAGUGAUGAAACUUUAAUUACAAGUUUGCGUGUGAGGAGAGAUUUUAUUGUUCAUUGUUUUUGAGAUAGCUCACCAGUCAUGCCAAAUGGUAGGAGAGAUAUUCCCGCCAAGAUAUAGUGGAUAUUUGUAAACUUUAAUUCAGUUUAAUAAUGCAUCGCACUAUAUUAUUUCACUCGAUGACGUUAUUUUGCAAUCCAGGAUGAUGCACUGUGGCUCAAUUGCAGGGCUCAACAUGCCAGCUGAUAGCUCCAUUCUACCAAUUCUAAACGUGUUUUUUUGUGUGUGUGGAUGUAAUUUAAAACGUGUUAACUUAACUGUAUAUGUUAUGAAAGCUUUACUUCUUGAUUUGAACAUUGGAAUUUUGUUCAUCGUUCUCCUUCUAAAUUGGAGGUCGUGACUUCUUUUGUCGUUGAAACUUGAAAGGUGUAAAAGAAAUCACUAAAGGUUGUAACAUAAUUAGUUCUAAAGUGAUAUUCAGGUAGUAAUGACGAAAUAUUGAAUAAACGAAGUUAAAAGUUUUUCUUUUUUGAGAGAAGAGAAGUUCGAGUUGAAUGCUGAUCGACGAACCCUUGAUGUACGUGAGCAGGGACAUGGAUUGUGAUAGUCUACAUCGCGUAGACCGCGUCGAUACUGAAGAAAAGAAAAGGCAAUGCGUGAAGCAGUCAGUAGGCCCGGUCUUCAGAUCUUCCGUCGAUCUAUUAUCUAUUAUAUAUCUAUACGUGUUUGACUAUGAUGACCAAGUAGUAGGUGCAUGCUGCCUAGCUUGCUUGUGUUCCCACAUAAACAUUCAAAGUCCAAAAUUCAGAUAUAUGUAGUCUAUUCUACGCUUCCAGCCUUCCACCUACCGCACACGUUUCUUCAACCCAGCUGGGCAUAGCCUGUAUUGUAUAUAUAGGACCCGACACAGACACCUAGAGAAGCAAACACAAUCUCCGCUCAAAGGAUCAACACAGCACCUGUCUUACAAUCUCCUCUGCUAGCUCUCCUUUCAGUUCCAACCGCAAUGACUGUCAUGAGAACCAUUCUCCUCGCCGUGGCCGCGAUGGCCAUCCUGAGCACCGCAUCGGCGGCAAUCUACAACGUCGGCGAGCCAGAUGGUGCAUGGGACCUCAGCACCAACUACGGCACCUGGGCGUCUUCCAGGAACUUUCACCCCAGCGACCAAAUCAUCUUCAAAUACUCUCCUCAGGCACACGACGUCCUCGAGGUCAGCAAGGCCGACUACGACUCCUGCAGCACUGCUAGCCCCAUCGCCACCCUGAACUCCGGGAAUGAUGUUGUCUCGCUCACUGCCACCGGCACCCGCUACUUCCUCUGCGGCUUCCCGGGCCACUGCGCCGGGGGAAUGAAGGUCAAGAUCGAUGUCGUGCCAAGCUCGUCCUCUUCCUCGCCGGCCCCGGCCAGCGGCCCCAGUGCAAGCAACGCUCCCCCGCCAGCUCCUGUCUCAGCCGCCACCUCUAUGGAGGCCACAGGGUUUGGCCUCGCCGUCUUGCUUGCCGUUGCCAGUCUGAUGGCUUGAGUGCAUCUCUAAAAAAACAUAGAAGUCACUGUUUACUAUCAAGCAUACGUGGUGUACAUGUAUAGUCAAGUAAUUAUAUCGUAUGUUGUAUGUAUUCAGGCUUCACGUUUUGCAUAUUCAUUUUGGAGGAUGAGUAGUAAAAAUUAUUUUAGUAUUAGUACAAUAUUAGUCCCGAAACAUGUUCGCCAACCAUAAAAAGCCACCCUCAGCUCUGGAAUCAUGUCAUACCCCUCAUUAUCACAGCACCCGCUAUUUCAUCCGUAACUUCCCUCGCCAUUGCAUGUGUGGCAUGAAGGUCACGAUUGAUGUCAUGCCUAACUACUCCUAGUGUCGCCUGCCCCGGCCAACAGCCCAACUGCAACUAACACUUCCCAAUGUGUCUAUAUCUGCCGUCACCUCUGCGGAGGCCAUGUGGUUUAGCCUCGCCAUCUUGCUUCUCCUUGCCGAUCUAAUUGCUUGAAUUCACUUGCGCAGCCCCA
RNAcentral lists this long non-coding RNA (49075 nucleotides) under Triticum aestivum (bread wheat). Its description in RNAcentral is "long non-coding RNA (TAES_LNC024824)". The record is from RNAcentral. Lineage: Eukaryota; Viridiplantae; Streptophyta; Magnoliopsida; Poales; Poaceae.